GCUUCGGCCCUCCCCUCACUGGUGUCAACCCACCCUCCCCGACACCACGCUCCCCCUGGUCCCGCCUGCCGCCAGGCCUACCUGAACGGCGUGGACGUGCCGCACAUCUUCCACUUCAACACGCUGGCGGCCAAGGUGCUGGGCGCCAUAGGCAGCGUGGCGGGCGGGCUGGCCAUCGGCAAGGAGGGGCCGUUCGUGCACGCGGGGGCGGCCAUUGCCGCCAUCAUUAGCCAGGUGCGGUUGGCGUCCUGCGUCCGGAGUUGGGUGGGUGUGGGCUUGUGGGUGAUCGUUUUUGUCGUGCGGCGGGCAUGGUGGGUGACCGGGUAGGGGAGGGUGGUGCGUGUGGUGAGAAACAGGGUGGGUACCGUUGGUGGGGAUGACGGCGAGGGCUCGUGACAGCAAAGGUAAGGGAGACCCCUGGCUUCUUGCAGUUGCCCUUGCUCUGGGUUGUCUGAGUCACACUUCAUGUUGCCAACCGCGCUAAUUCGCACAGGGCGGCUCGGGCUCAGCGCGGCUGCCCUGGAUGCGGAACUUCUGGAAUGACCGCGACCGGUGAGCCCGAGCAACCCGGGUAUACGGCGCCCCGCAUGUCACCCAUUCCUGCCUUCUAGUGCUACGCCCAGUCCUUACACGCCCCGACGACCAGCCUUGAUACAGUUGUCCGCACACCAACUGCGAUUGUACGGUAACUGACUUUCCGUGCGUUACGCCGUACAGGUACGACAUGGUGGCGUGCGGCACGGCGGCGGGCGUGGCGGCGGCGUUCCGCUCGCCCGUGGGUGGCGUGUUGUUCGCGCUAGAGGAGAUGACGAGUUGGUGGAAGAACCAAAUGCUGUGGCUGGCCUUCUUCACCACCGCGGGUGAGGGUGGCGGUGGGAGCUGGGGGUGCGGGUGGGGUGCGGGGGGUGGGGCGGGGUUGCCUGUGGGGAUGCCCGUGGGCGUGCGGGUGGUGUACUGGACUCCAGUCCAAAGGAACCAAGACGGGGGUGUGGGACCAAAGGAAGACCAGGGAAUGCGUGUGCGGAGGGAGGCGGUGAGUGAAAGGGGGUGGGGAUUGGGGCGGAGGGUGCAGGGGGCGCGACGGCAUGGCCUGCCAGUUGCCUUAGGAGUUAGGGUUUGAAGCGCGCAAGUGCGGGGAUGGGGUGUAGUUGGUGUGGAUUGGAAUGGAACGGAAUGGCAGCCAUAUCCACCUGACGCCCUGACACCCAGCCCACGACCCCAUCACACGCCCCCUUGCCGCAGUGGUGUCGGUGGCCAUCCGCGUGCUGAUGAAGGCGUGUAGCGCCAACGGCUGCGGGUUCUUUGGAUCCGGCGGCUUCAUCUAUUUUGAGAUCCAGGAGGGCCAGGACACGUACGAGUUCUUCGAGCUGCUGCCCAUGCUGCUGCUGGGCGUGCUGGGGGGGCUCAUGGGCUCGGGUACGUGGCGUGCGUGUCUCAUACACACAUGCAUGUGCAUCAGCGUGUGCGUGCCCCGGCUGGGAGUGUGGCUCUGGCAGGCGUCCGGUGAGCCGGGCCUGAAUAGAAUGCUGGAAGGCCCUGUGGGGCCGCCUGCGAGGGGUUGGUGUCCUCCCUUGCCCGCCCUCCGCACUCCCCUUCCCCUUCCCCUUUCCCCCUCCAACCAGGCUUCAUCGUGAUGAACACGCGCCUCAGCGAGUGGCGCCGCCGCAACCUGGCGCCGCUGGGCCGCCGCGGCCGGCUGCUUGAAGGCCUGGCCAUCAGCGUGCUCACCUCCACCCUGUCCUUCGUGGUCCCGCUCAUGGUGGCCUGCACCGCCUGCCCGCCCGGCUCCGAGGGCGCCUGCCCGCGCACUGACGACCUGCACAGCGGCAACUUCGUGAAGUUCGGCUGCCGGCAUGUGGGCGGCCGCGGCUACUACAACGACCUGGCCACGUUGUUCUUCAACACGCAGGUGGGUGGGCGGGGAGGGCCGGGGAGGGGCGGGGAGGGGCGGGGAGGGGCCCGGAGGGAGGGCUUGGGGUGCAGGGAGGGGUGCGGGAGCGUAGGUUGUAGAUACAAGCCCCAACUGUGGUGGUGGUGUGGCUGGAUGGCAUGAAUUGCCUUGAAUGCCUCACAACGGCUGCUGAACAGGACGACGCGAUCCGCAACCUGUUCGCGUCUAAGACCAAGCGCGAGUACACAGUGGCGGCGCUGUUCACCUUCACCACCAUCUUCUACUUCCUAGCCGCCCUGACGUACGGCAUAUUCGCGCCCACCGGCCUCUUCGUGCCCAGCAUCCUGUGCGGCGCCGCCUACGGCCGCCUGGUGAGCGGGGUACUGUGUCCGCGUGUGUGUUAGAGAGCAGGUGGGAAGGAGCACAAAGGGCUGUAAUCAGAGCACGUAUGGGCUCUGCACGGGCUCGCCUGCUGCCCCGGCGCUGCGGUGCGACCGCGCUUUGGGUUGUUGACGUCUAGCGCGUUCCGGUCGCACGGCGCGGCACGAUGUGGCGCGCGCAUGCUGCAGCGCACCGCCGCGGCGUCCGCUCGCCUCCGUGCGUCCUUGAAGGAUGCAGGUUACGGUGCCCAAUGUGCCGUAGUACGGUACUGACCUUGGCCCGGGAUGCUUCCUCUGCUGCCCUUCAGGUCGGCAUCUUCGUUGCGGACAUGCACCCGGGGCACUACAUAGACGAGGGCACGUACGCGCUGCUGGGGGCCGCGAGCUUCCUGGGGGGCGCCAUGCGAAUGACGGUGAGACACGGUAGCGGAGAUUUAGAUGGCGGUGCUGUGUCUGCUUGGGCGGGCGGGUGGGCGAGGUUUUGAAGUUUUGGCGUGGCGGCUACGGACUGACUGACUGGCUGCCGUCGUGGCGGACUGGGCGUCGUGAUGGGGUGGUGGUGGCUGGGGAGGUGGGGUCUGUGCCAGGUAGGGCGCGCCUGCUGGCUAGCCUACAUCACAACAUGUGCUCCCUGCCACCCCGUCGCGUGCUGCAGGUGUGUACAUGUGUGUUGUUACUGGAGCUAACGAACAACCUGGCGCUGCUGCCGCUCAUUAUGCUGGUGCUGCUGGUGGCUAAGGUGGGAGGCGGCGAGGGGCAGGGCGGGGCCCGAAGCGUUUGAUGGCCGAGGGCGCAGAGACGGUAAAAAUGUUAAUGACGUCGUUGCAGUCCUACACGUGUCGCCUGGUUGUACCUUGCAAAUCCGCGCCAUACACGCCAGAGGCCCGCGCGCCCAAUGUCCGCUCCUUGCGCCGUGACCUCUCAUGACCCCGCCACCCUGUCACCCCGCCACCCCACCAACCCACCACCCUGUCGCCACGCCCUAUCACCCUGUCACCAGGCCGUGGGCGACGGCACGGGCAUCAAGCCCAUCUACGAGGUGCAGAUGGAGAUCAAGGGGCUGCCCUUCCUGCAGCCGCAGCCCGAGGCCUUCAUGCGCCACAUCACGGCCAAGGAGUGCUGCGGCCGGCCGCCCGUCACAUUCAACCGGGUGGAGAAGGUGCGCGCUGGCAGCAGGCGCCCGCAACGCCACCGGGCAUCAGGCACCGGGCAUCAGGCACCGGGCAGCAGGCCAGCGGCCCCACUGGCUCAAGAUUAAGCAUGCCCGUGCCGUGAACGUGUAGUACGGCAGACAAACUUUGUCGGCGCCUCCCCUUCCCAUGCAGGUUCGCUCCAUAGUGGAGACGCUGCGCUCCAACGGCCACAACGGCUUCCCGGUGCUGCACCGCGGCCCGGACGGCGAGCGGCUCAUCUGCGGCGUGGUGCUGCGGCAGCAGCUGCUCACGCUGCUGGGGAGCGGCAGCCGCAGCAUGCAGCCCUCGCCCACAGUCAACGACAGCAGCAGCAGGGCGGCGCUGUCCUACAGGUGCAUGCUGGCCGUGCGGGGCGUUAUGUUUGGGUGGCCGUGUUUGGUAGUGCGUGUGCUGCUGUGUCGUGUUGAUACAAUAGCGAGUCGGUACAAGGCAGUGCGAGUCCUGCCAGCCAUGAAGGUUUCCAAAGCUUUAUAUCUGCAUUAGCGCAUGCCUGAGCUGUCCACGCAGCACCGCGUUUAUCCGCUUCCUGCCGCGCUAACUGCGCCCGUCCCGCCCCCGCGUCUCCGCCCGUCCGCCUCCGCCUCCGGCAGUGUUCCCGAGUUCUCCAAGCCCAUGUCUGACCCUGCGGAGGGGUCUGCAGACGGCGUGCUGGCCCCGGGGGCUCUGGGCGAGGACGUGCUGGAUCUGUUCCUGGACCUGGGCCCCUUCCUCAACACCAGCUACCACGUGGUGCAGGUGGGCGUGAGGCGGCGGGUGGCGGAGUCAGCGGGUGCAGGUGCGGGUGCGGGAAGAGGCAGUUGAUGUCCAUUUGGCGGGGGGCGGGGGCGUGAGCGCGGAGAGGCAGCUUAUUCCGGGGGGGGCGGGGGGCGGGGGGUGUGGUUGUGGGUGCGGGUGGACAGGCACGUGGCAGGAGGGGGAUUACAUUUAUGAUGAUGAAGUGAUGGCGUAGCCAGGAACAGUAGUAUAGCAGACGCGGUGUUGCCGACCGGCGGAGGGGCGUCAGGGGGGAGGGAGCGGGGUGUCCCGGCGCCAACGUGGACCCCAGAGGCAGCCAUGGAAGCAGAGGCCGGUGGAAGCAGGCGCGUGCGGCACAGGUGGGCCCCCCCUGCGCGCCUGCGCUGGGGCGCCUCGCCUGGCAGCGAGGCCAUGCGCUACCUGCUGCUCACUGCGCCCUCUGCAUGCUGGUGGUUGCGGCAACCGCUUUCGGACGCUGUGUUUACCGCGCAGGAGGACGCGCCACUGUCCAAGGUGUACCAGCUGCUGCGGACGCUGGGGCUGCGGCACAUCUGCGUCGUGCCAAGGUGCGUGCCAUGCCCGGCCGCCCAGCGCAUUCCGUUGCUCCCGCGACUGCUUCUUCUCGCCCUCCAAUUCAAAGGCUUGCAGCUGCACUUGGCACUGCGUCAGCAUCCUGCCGCAGAGAUGCGUGUAUCCAACCCUUUUAUGCAUAUGCGUGUGUGUGUGUGUGUGUGUGUGUGUGUGUGUGUGUGUGUGUGUGUGUUUUGUGUGUCCUGUGUCCUCAUGCGGUCACCCACAGGGCGCACGAGGUGGUGGGCAUGAUCACUCGCGCCGACCUGCUGCCUGACGCCCUGGAGAAGCGCUACAGCGGAAUGCCCGGCCACUACACCACAGACGGCCUCAACAUAUCCGUGCACACGCCAGGGACCGCCGGCAGCGGCUCAGGAGGCAGCGGCCACGCCCCGCUCAGCCCAGGCGGAGGCGGAGCGGGCGGCAGCCGGGCCACGACGGGGGCAGGCGCGGGCGGGCCGGCCGGGUCAGGAGGGGAGGGCGGCGGGCCAGGCGGCUCCGCGGCAGCGGGGCAAGUUGGGAUCCGCGCAGACACGCCCACUGCGUCGGUCGCGGGCGCAGCUAGCGCCUUUGCGCCGGCGGCUGGGCAGGCGGCAGACGCUGCCACGUCAGCGAGUGCGGCGGCCGCGACCAUUGGUAACCUGAGCCGCCGUGUGGCGGCGGCGGGCCGCGGCUUUGGAAUGCUCAGCACCGGCGGGCCAGGUACCAUUGCCGGGGGCGGCGGGGCGGGCAACAUUGAGCUGCGGACCACAUCUCCAACUGGGAGUGUCAACUUGCCGACAGGCCGCUGAAGGAGGUGGCAGGUGGUUAGGCUACGGGGUACUGUACAUCGGAAGCUGUAAGGAGGUCUCGUUAGCGUACUAGCUAUUAGUGCUUGACACUCGUCUGCAUGCAGGCGUGUGUGCUGGGUGCAGUGAUAUGCAGUUAAGAAAGGGGCAUGCACAUGGCAGAGGGCGAGGAAAGGGAUAUUGUACUGGUCCGGGUCAUCUAGGCGACUGCCAUGUGUAUUACAACCGAGCGUGCUAACGGACAAAUAGCAUCAACAUGGCAUAGCGUAUGCUAUCUCAUGAUUCCGACAACCCCCAAAGCGCCAGGAGCGUGGAGAGUGGCGGGCGGUCGUCAAGUCACAGUGGGUUAGGCAGAGAUCUGAUGGGCAGCCACGCAGUCCGCCCACGAGCUUUUUGUGAUGGCCGCCGGCGGCGGGGCCGGGCUGAGAGCCUGAACGGCGCUAGCAGGGCGUGGGGCUGAGGGUGCACGUGUCGAUUGGCGGCGAGUGACGUGACUAGUUUGUUAGCUGCAGGUUAGCACGGACUGUGCACCCCACCCAACCGGCCACGUCCGGAUUUGCGGGGAUGCCAAAGGCCCCCAACAUAGAGGCGUGUGCUUAGUAGGCGCCCGCGUCAAGGUGGCUGGGUUGAUAACGACCCGGGAGGGCCCUUUUCCUGCCUCCCUAAGGCAACCACCUCCUUGUUGUGAUGAGAUGCGCAUUGCGUAGAGAAGCCAGGAUAGGAUGCAGUGAUGCACGGCCAGCACAUGCGGCUGGCCUCGAGGCUGUCAGUAAGUUGCCUUGGUUACAGUGCCCUCCACGGGUGCGACAUGCUCCCAUGGUGUGUUAGGGCCAUCCGUGGCUCUCGCCAACGCGGCGUCUCCACACGCGAGCAAUGUGUUGAUCGUUACAAGAGGGACGUGCUGACGCGUUUACGAGCCUGUGACUUGGAAUGCAAUCACCCUGCUCUGGAUUCCACUAGCUGGCUGCGCGUGGACAGGGAAGUGUGAAUGGGCAUCGGACCCUUGAAGAGAGCGAGCACCGUAUUGAAAGUUGUCCCUUGCCGGGCUCACGGACGCCUCCUGUGACUCUUAUGCUCGCGUAAGCUCUCAUCCACUGAUGCGGAUUUGCGCGUCCUCCGUGCUCCCUUCACCAUUUGGCCGUUGGCACUUGGACCUGGGCAUCCGGUGGGUUGCCCCUUGCAUACAUGGCUACGGCUUGUCAGAAUGUCAGUGCGAUGGACCACGCGAAGUGGGCAGGAGGAGUUGUCAGUGCGCCACAGCGGCACAGGUUAAGCACACUGGUGCGGCGGUGCCGAACCAUACUCUGCGCUCAGCCUCCACACAUCUCGACCAGACUCCAGGAUACGGUACACACACCCGGGUCCUCGACUUAAAAGCGACGCAGACCACCCUCGUCUGCAAACUUCCAGCCAGCCAGCAACUUGCCGGUACAGCAACGCCCGCGUUGGACCAGUCGCGCGCUCAUGUACUGCCAUCGCAAAUUGUUGUUUGCCAUGUGCUGGGGUCUGAGAAUCAGCUGCACCCAACGGGAAUUCACCAACCUGCCUUAACCCUGUCCACUCGCACACCCUUGUCUGCGACAAGCGAACCCCGCUGGCCUGAUCCUCCUCGCCUCCACCUCCACCUCCGCACAACACCUGUGGCCGCAGCCACCGCCUCGCACCAUCGCCCCUUCUCUCCGCAACCUGCACCAGCCUCCUGGCCUCCUAGCCCCCCGCUUAGUAUUUGAGCGGCGGCGGCAUGGGCCACACCUGCUCGCUCUCCAGGUCCACAUUGACAGGCGCGUCAAAAAUGUCCAGGUACUCUGCCACAGUGGGCGCGUCCUGCACAGAGCACCGGUAAAGGUUGUUACCCCUCAUCAGGCAAGUGCCAGUAACAAGGGAUCGUAGUCCUUGUGGACGGCACGGUGACACGGCCCUUGCCAAACACCCAGUCGCCUCGCGCUCGCCCACUGUCCAGGUGCUAGGAAUCCAGCAGGAGCUCACGCACCUCGGUGGGCGUUAGCGACAGCACCAGCUCCUGCGCCGGCACGUCCUCCAGCGACGCGUCCACGUUGCUCAGCUUGCGGCGCGUCUCGGGCUGCACACAUACGCACGGGCAGAGGCGCUGUGGGAGUUAGGACGCGGAAUGAGGCCUGCCCCGACCUCAACGAGGAUAUGGCAGAUUAGCGUAGCACGCACAAGUUGUUCGGAGCGUGCGGUGGAAGUAUGUUGCCCCCAUUAAGGGCUGGCGGCAUGUCACCAUGGGCACUGAGCCGAAGCAGCCUCACUCACGUCCAUGGGCGCAAGCAGCUCCGGCCCGGCCUUGCGGAGGAAGGUGUUGAUGUCGGUGGCGCCCUUGACGGCCCUGCAGGGACCACACACAGCGCCACUUCACCGCCGCCCCUGCUGCAUGGACCGUCCUUACCAUAUGCGACAGCGCGUGGUCAGAAGCCUUUCCCCGGCCCUUCCGCAUGCUUCACGCCCUGCCGCGGACUAUUGCGCCUCCCAGCACAAAAGCUCGGCACAAGCAAGCCGCUGGGGUGCAUCAACACCCUGCAAACGCGUUGCAUGCGAGACGCACCCGAACGCGUCCAGCGGGUCCAUGGACUCCACAGUGCUGCCUGAGGGCAGGUACGCCACAUACCUGCAGCGGUGGGGGCAGCCACAUUCAGGCAGCUGCUAAAGGGCCUAUGUGUGCGUGCACGCUGCCGUGUGAACCUGACCGCCCUCCCCCCCCCCAGAGCAAGGGUCUGUUGCCGACUGCUACCGCCCAAGCGGCCGGGAGCACCCUUCCCAUACGCAGCUGUGUGCUGGACGGGCACGCAUGGCACCCCCUCUUUCUGGAUCUCCCUCACCAGCGCGACUGUUUCCUUACGGCAUUGGUUCACAGUUAACCCCCUCACCAGCCGUUGAAGUGGCGCCCCGGCACGUCCUCGCAGCUGGACACCACCUGCAGGGCCACAACAUGCGUGGCGCUAAGCAGGACGCCCAGGAAAGGCCCCGAGGCCUCCGCGCCACCAUGCAUUCAAACAUCUUGCAGCGUCCGCCAAGUACAUGAAACACUUUAUUGGAGCGGCUCAAUCGCGCACCCGUCGUGCAACACGGUACUGUGACACCGGCUUCCUUGACGCCCGGGACCCCUGCCUCACCCGUGUCUCCGCCAACCGCACGUCUGCCCCGUGGUUCAGCACUUCCCGCAGGACCGCCAUCAGCUGCGGCGUCUUGCCCUGCAAGAGCGACAUGUGUGGGUGUGACGUGAGGUGAUUGCCAUGAUGGACGUGCGUGCCUGCGUGCGUUCGUGACCCGCACAAAACAGGUGAGCCUGCCUUCCAUGGACCCCGAGAAUCAGAGCACCCAUGCCCUAUCCGGCCGCCCAUACCUCGAUGACGUGAAUGUAGCACAGCGGGUAUACCAGCAGGAACCCCGUGAUCUCUCCCUCAACAGAGCUGUGCUUCUCUAUCACCCUGGACAGAAGCGCUGCGACACCAAUGAAAGAAGAGGCCAGAUGGUAAGUUGUCCCUCGGGGCAAGCCCUUGUCUGCCUGGUUGGCGCGUUCCCCAGCAAGCAGCAACUCAGGUGCGUGACCAGUGCGCACCUCUUACGCUAUCCGAGCUGUUCUGCCUUUGCGCUAGUCGUGCCACGUAGACAAUCCGGGUGGUGAGGACGGUCUGCGACAGCAAGGUGGGCCGGGUGUCAAAGGUGCGGCAAAGCCACGCGUACCGUGUAGGGGCAGCGCGAGCUUACCCCCCUCCAUUCCGACAUACCUUCCCAGAUUUUUGGACUCGAUUGAGAAUUACGUCCAAAAGCGAGUCGCGUGGCCCCGCCUCGAGUUGGCUUCGGAGCGUGUCAGCCAUUAUUGCCGCGACGCUUGCCCGCGAACUCCGCAAGGAUGGCAAACCAGCUACUGCUUAGCGAUUGUAUGGGAUAUCUUAACUAUGUAGUCUACACGGACAGGCAAACCUCGGUCAACUCCUUUAGCAAGUGCUUCGAGUCGGGAACUACAAUAUAGGGUGUAUAUACAAGGCGCAGCAAGUCUCAGGUAUCAAACCUGCUGCUGCUUACGGGAACUCGAAGGAAAUGUUGCAGUGUUGCUAGUUUUGGUAAACCCGCCGAUACUUUCACAAAAAUCCUUCCAUACUCAGAGUUAAAUGCUUUUGCCUACAAUCUUGUGAAAGUAGAUGGAACCUUUGGCACCCAGGGAUUCAUGGGACGCCCAAGAGCCAACCCAACCUCGGAUACUCCUGAUGCCCCAAGCCAUAACCUCGCAUAGCAGCUUUCUGCCACCACCCGAGGGACAUGCAUACGAAAACGCUGUGCAGGUGUGUCGUGAGGGGCGACCGGCGACGAGGGGUGCCGGCGGAGGCUUGGGCUGCCACCUUGGAGCUGUGCCUGUGCGUAAGCCCUCAGGCAUUGGCAUACUGAAUUCCCGAGCUAAGUACAGACGCUGCUUGAGGCGACUGCGAUAGCCACCUGGGUCCCCGAGGCUUGCACGAACAACCUGGGCCCAGCUGGUGCGGUACAUGCGGUGGCAUCAGUUAGCAUCAGGUAGCGGAAUUUCGAGUUGCAUAAGCUUUCAGACUAAGUGGCCCUCAUAGAUACGGUGCGGCCGUUCUCAUUUGGUCACAACCUUGUACGCCGAGCAAACUCAGGCAAAAAACACAGCCACCGGCGCCAUGGCCAAGCGUGCGUCUCAAGCACGCCCCCCUCCCGUGGCCCCCUCCCCACAUCGGCAUUACCCACCGCUAUUUCCCCGUCCAAACAGCUCGUGCCAACCCUUGCAAAGCCUGCCAGACUUACUGUAAGCUAAGUACCAUGGACAGCAGUGCACGAGAGCGAUAUCGUCACAGAGCUGGACGCGCAUGGCGCAACAUGGGCAACGUGCACGAUCGGUGCAUUUGAUUCACCCAAUGACAGUCCCACCCAAAAGUACAGUAGUUGGUGCUUCGCUUUCACCGUAUCGCAGUGUUCCUGAUGCGCUUCGCAUGUAGCCGCUCGUGUUCAGCCGCGUGCAUGCCCAGAAGCCUCAACGUGAUAAGUGAUGACUCUCAUACCAUGCCCGUCGUGCAUGCCCGUUGUGGCAACCAUUUCACCAUGACCGGACCUUCGAAUCUGGCCAGAAGCUAAUACUACUCUGCUAAUACCUCAACAAGCACGCCAGGCCGCUAAACCCCUUUGGUCAUCAAUCAUUGGGGCUAGCGUCCUUUCAAGCACCCGUAAAAGGUCUUGGUGGCCCGGCCAUGUCACCGUGCGCAAGAAUUGUCAGGCUGGCGUGAGAGCGGCCAACGCCGAAUCGCCACAUGGACAAGCUCCGCCGACGUACUAGACUCGCUAAACAAUGCUCGACUGAGUCCAAACAAUGUGCACACUUACAACCGAAUGACUAAUAUGGGCGGUGACGCAGGAGCCCGGUACGACUGCACCGCUACCGGCCUGGGUGGUGCCUAUGGGUGCUCCUCGGCUGCGGGAUGCCAGUUAUCAACAUGGACGCUACGGCGAGCACCAGCCGCUGCUGCCCCUGCCAAUGCUGUCUCUCAUUCGGCCCGCCUCCACGCAUUCUACCUGCGUCACCGCAGCUCCUUUCCAGACUGUUGCUGCGAGUUGUGGCUGCUGUGUCCGUGCUUGCUGUUCUGUUCUUUUGUGUGCUCCCGCGCUGCCACAGCCUGCCGCGUCUGCUGCGCGCGCGCGGCCACAGCCGCCUUCGAUGGCCUCCGCUGCUUUCGCGCAGCCGGCGGUUUGUGCCGGAAGGAGUACGCCAGGCCGGCGAAGACGGCGCCGAGGAUGGGCGCACUCCAGAAGACCAGGAAAUGCUCGAUGUCAUUUUGGCGCUUGUAGUGCAUGUGCCAGGAGAAGCUCUGCGCAUUCCAGACAACACAAGUUGGGGUAUUCAAUCUAGUCGGGCGCCCCCUGCUAGUCUGCUAUAUGCUAACAGUGCUGACAGUACUGUCAUGCAAGGGGCACCGGUGAACCAGGGCUUACCACGAACGGGUUCAGUGACGGUCCGGUGAAGUAGUACCCAAUCCAGCUCUGUUGCAUGCAAUGCAAAUGGAAGCGUUGUCAACCAGGCACACACAUGAAGCUCGCCUGGAGCCACUGCACCAGCAAGCCCACCGUUGCCCGUCCCGACAGCUGAUAGGCGCUCACCAGUACAAUUGUGGAUACCAUGGGCGUCCACGUUUUGAGCAGCGAGCUCUCCGCCUCUGUUGACCAACAGGCAAGGAAGGGACAUGUCAACUCCUGGCCAUCCAAGCACAGCACACGCCCAUUUGCUCCAGCAAUUGCCUUGACACCUCCCGCUGGCAUUACCUUGCUUUGGCUGCGCACGCACUCACCCAGCGACAUGAGGAACACGUAGUUCAGCACGAAGCUCAAGGUGCCCUCCGCGGCGAAGCCCACUUCAAAGGCCACGCCCUCCUUGAUUCCGCCGGACAGCGUGUGAAACUUACUGCAGGGCGCCAACAGCCACAGCCGCCGCGGCAGCCUUAUAUGCGGGGUGGUUAUGUAACCGUUCUACCGACACGGUCUGUAGCACUAGGGCAUUGUGUGACUCUACCCCAAAGGGAGCACGAAUCAUCCGGCCUCGAUGGCACCGCCCAUGCAUAGGUUGUCCUGUAAAUCCUCACAAGUAGACACAGCAUUCGCGCCCCAUUCCGUGCUAAAGCUUCGUUUGCCCGCUCACCCCUGCAGAAACUCCGGUAGAUGCGUUUUGGCGAAGAUGCUGCCCGCUAUCGCACCCGCCAGCUGGCCGCACUACACGGACGUGGGCAGGGUUGGACGGAUGGAAAGAGUGGGGUGCAGGUUAAGAAGUGUUGACAGCAUCUUGUCCAGUAAGAACGCAAGACGUGAAGAGGCAGGGGCGGUCACACCAAGUUGCUGACACCACAGUAGCCUAGAUGAAGUGUCAAACCAUCAACGUAGACUCUGCUGCUAGGAUGGGUGCAGUCCAACCGUUUGGGUGCGCACCAUUCGGAGCAGGUGGGACGUGGCCGUCCCAGAUCCGCUGCUGAGGAGGGCAAUGCUGUUGAUAGGGUUGAACAACGCGCCGCCGAAAAUACCUGCAGGCGUGCCGUGGUCGCCUCAGCCACUCCGGUAAGGAAAUCCUGACAGGGUUAACAGCCUGCACCGCCGCCUUCAGGUGUUAAACUGGUCUACGAUAAGGCCACGACCGGUACUGUGUAACCGACCCCAGUCUACCGCGCGCGUUGCGCUUUGGCCCAGCUGCACGCCACCACGCACGCACCACAUAGCGGCCCAAAGAUUGUCAGGGCCGAGAUCAGGACGGCGAUACCCAGCACGAGUUCAUCCAGGCCCGUCUGCUCAGCCAGGUAUUCACUCGCCUGCGGUGAAGUCCGAGCACGGGAGGAGUGCUCGACACCGAGUGCCAAACCAACAGGGACCCCCCCCUUUUCAGCCGCCAUGCGCUUGCCCGCCCCAUGCUGACAGCGGCUUCAGGCAUAUCAGGCAUACCUCUGCAAAGCAGCUUGAUGCCACCACCCAGAGGGACGUGCACAUAAAAUCGCCAAACACGAGGGUCGAGAGGGGUGCCGGGGGAGGCUUGGGCUGUGCCUCAGCGACUGGCUUCCCCAUGGAUCGAUUACUGUCAAAACUAUGAGAAGCGGAGAGGUUGCUGGGCGCAACUGCGACAGUCAAAGUGAAGGCUCUUGCAGAGACAGGAUAGUUCUCUCUCUAUGCGCACAAAACUAGGCCUAAGCCUACAAAAGCAAUUUGGCCCUGCAGUCGGAAUAACCAGAAGGUUUGUGAAUGGCCCCAUGCGGAAACAUGGGGAACUCGUCCUGCCCCGCCCGCACUCUUGCGCCCCUUAACGACCUGCAUAGCAGGGCCAGCAGUUCAAGCUUGCUGAUUAGGGCCACCGAAUAGGACAGAAAUCCUGUGCGCCGCAAGCUCCAUCAGCACAAGCCUCCCUUUCUUUGCAACCCUACCAAAAUGGAGGACAAGCCUAUUGAGAAGAUGACCGUGCUUGAGCUUCAGGCGGAGCUGCGCAAGCGUGGACUGAACGAGAAGGUGCGCAAGCCUGAUAGUGUACCACGCACCCGCUGUGCAUCUAACGCCUCACUCUCUUGCGUGCUACAGGGCCGCAAGGCAGAGCUGCUUGAGCGCCUACAGGAGGCAAUGGGAGUGGACACGGGCGGAGAUCAGCCAGAUGCUGAGGAAUCUGCGCCUGCCGAGGAUGCUGCUGACGCUGGUGCUGCUGCGCCUGUAGAGGAAAAGCCAGUGGAGGAGGCGGCUCCGGCAAGCGAGAGCACACCCGCUGCACAGGCGAGUUGGUUGGUGGCGAGGGCGCAGUUUCGAGCACCAUUACAGCGCCGGGCGUAGCAUACCUCGUGCAUACUCACAUUGUCCAUCUUUCUGUUUACACCAGGCUGCGCCAGCGGAGGACGCCAAAGCAGACGAGGAGAUGGGCGAUGCCUUGGUCAAGCCGGACCCAGAGCCGGAGGUCGUGCCGUCCAGCGCUUCGGACCCAGUGAAGGAUGAGGCCGCCGCAGAUGCCGGAAAGGGCGGCGAGGACGGGGAGAAGGCGGACGAAGAGGCCGCCAAGGACCAGGGCGAGGGCGCUGAGGGGCAGCAAACAAAGGAGGACAAGGCGCCAUCCAAGGAGGCAACGCCGGCUGUUGACUACGGCCCCGAGGAGUGGGAGACGAUGGACAUCCCCAACGAGUUCAAGCCGCUGCCGUUGUUGCGGGUGGGUUGGAGCGCGCUGCUUCCUGUGAAGGGUUCGGGUCGGAGGCUAGCCCCGGCACCAACUGGACUUGAGUAGCGUGUCCGCAAGCGGAUGCCUGUGAUGCAGCAUGUGCCGCUGCAUCUGCCCGCGCCCGCUGCCUUACCCCUUCCUCACACUCCCAUAAGUUGCCCACUCCGCCCGCCCGGCCUUGUCCACCGAUUGCAGGUGCGCAACAUCAAGCUGGAGGCCAGCCCCGACGACGUGAAGCAGGUGUUCGAGGAGCUGGGCAUUCCGGUGCAUAGCAUCUUCUUCGACAAUGUGGAGCGCGGCCGCAAUGUGGCGCUGAUGCGCCUCAUGCCGCCCCCGCUGCCCUGGUCCCUCAGCAAGGAGGACCUGGCCUCGCACCCGCUGGAUGAGCCGCUGAAGCGCUACACGGAGGCCAAGGAGGCGGAGGCGAAGGAGAAGCGCGCGGCAGAGGAGGCCAAGCGCGCCGCCGAGGCGGCGGAGGCCGCGAAGGAGGCGGCCGCGGCGCGGGAAGCGGCUGGCGAGGGCGCGGAGGGCGGCGAGCAGCAGGAGGGUGGGGAGAAGGCGGAGGAGCAGCCCAAGCAGGAGGGCGAGCAGCAAGCGGCGGCGGAGGCGAAGGACGAGCCGAAGGACGAGCCCAAGGACGAGCCGAAGGAGGAGCCCAAGGAGGAGGGCAAGGAGGAGGGCAAGGAGGAGGCUAAGGAGGAGGCCAAGCCGGCCGAGGAGGGAGCGCAGGCCAAGGCCGCGGAUGGCUCGGCUGCCACCGCCGCCGCCGCGUCUCCCGCGCCGGCUCCUGCCCCCAAGCCGGCGCCGCUGCACAUGACCUUUGACGACGGCCGCGGCGACGGCGAUGUGCUCAAGGUGGCGCGCUACACGGCCAUGCGGCUCAACUCGCUGCCCUACCCGCUUGGCCUGCACGGCGACCGCCUCAUGAUCGACGCGCCGUCGCUGCAGUGCACGCUCUACCUGGGCAACGUCACGCAGGACGACGACGCGGCACUGCGGGAGGAGAUGGAGGCGCUGGGCCGUGUGUGCCGCUGCCACAUCAUGCGCGGCGGCUCGGGCCUGACCCGGGUGCGUGCACAUGCACGAAGGGAGCGGGGGACUACAUCAUAAUUCAUUCCGAAGAAGUGAAGGGGGGUUGACGGGUGUGUGAGGGCUGUAAGGGCCGGUGUGGGGAAUGCGAGGGCAAGGACUGGGUGCCGGGCGCCGGCUGAUCCUGUAAGUUAUCUCUGUAGCAACACUGCCACAGCGACGCAGUUCUGAACGAGCUGGCUGCGCUCUGCAGGGCUACGCAUUUGUGGAGUACGCCACGCCGGCGGAGGCGCUGAAGGCCAAGGAGUCGCUGGAGUCGCAGAGCCGCAAGGCGUUCCAGGUGCGCGCGUUUUUGCUAGUAUGGCCAUUGACUGAAGGCGCUUGCAGCCGGUAUACUAAUGCCGUGUGCGGGCAUGUUGGGUGCGUGGGGUGAACCACUGAACUAACUUAGCGUUAGCUGCCGUGGCAUGAGGAUGUGCGGCCAUGUUUGGGCGUUCUUUUCACCGCCAUGCCCUCAACGUUUUCGCACCUCCUAACACAGGACCUCAUGACCACCAAGAACGACCUGCAGCGGCCGCGCGGCAUGGGUGCCCUGGCCGCCGCCAAGGCCAAGGCGGAGGCGGAAGCUGGCGCGGGCGCGGACGGCGGCGAGGCGCCCGCCAAGUCGGAGGCAGACACAGACAUGAAGGACCAGUCGGGGGGUCCUGGCGGCGAGGAGGCCCCGCCGGGUGUGGGCGAGGAGGGCGCGGGCAAGGCAGAGGCAGAAGCGAAGCAGGAGGAGGACCGUGAGCAGCAGCAACAGCAGCAGCAGGAGCAGCACGACGGACAGGAUAAGGGUGGCGACGACAGCGCGGAGGGCAGGGAGGCUGCGGCUGCGGCCGCCAAGGUGCUUCGCUGCGAGUUCACGCACACCAAGCGCGUCCAGGACAUCUUCUCGCGAAACCUGUACCUCGCCAGCCUGCCCAUGGUGGGUGCACAACCAUGUGCAUGCCAGCUGACAUUAUCACACAAUUGCGCACGUCUAGCUAGGUACACUGCCUGCGGAUCCCCGGUAACUGCUCUUGCUGAAGCUACGGUAAUCUUCUGUUCCGGCCGCCCGCUGUACCAAGGUGCCUGGCUUCAACUUCACUUCUUUUUAGCUAAGCAUGACUGCAAACCCCUCCUCUUCUGCCGCGCAGUCCUUCAGCGACGAGCACCACCUGCGCAAGGUGUUCAGCGAGUUCGGCCCCGUCACCUCCGCCUCCAUCACGCGCGGCCCCCAGGGCUACUCCAAGGGCUUCGGCUUUGUGGAGUUCAUGCGCUCCGAUCAUGCCGCCGCGUGAGUCGAUGCUCUGCCCCCCUGCCUAGUUCCAUGCUACUGCUGUCUGCGCUUGCCUCACUGGGGAGGUGUUGCCUCUUGCGUAGCGCAGUGCUUCGGGCUCGUGCACAGCGCAACGCAAGCCAUCCUGUGACACUGCUGCUUUGGUUUACGCCCUGCGCAGCGCGCUGCAUGCCCUGGACGGCAACGAGGCGCCGCAGAUGGGCAAGCUGGCCAUCUCCUUCGUCAACCCCUCAAAGCACACCGACCGCCAGCGCACCACGCAGGGCCCUGGCGGCCGCGGUCCCGGCCGCGGCGGCUACAACAGUCCCGGUGGCCGCGGUGCCGGCAACAUGAUGACGCCUGGCUUCCGCGGCGGGCGCGGCGGUGCGCCUUACUACGCCGGCCCGCCCGGCGGGGCGCGUGGCAUGUACGGCGCCGGCCCGGCAGGCCCGUACGGGAUGGGCCCCAUGAUGGGCCGCGGCGGCGGCCCCUACGGCCCGCGCGGCGGCAUGAUGGGCGGCCGCGGCGGUUACGGUGGCGGCUAUGGUGGCGGCUACGGCGGUGGCUACGGCGGCGGCUACGGCGGCGGUGGUUAUGGCGGCGGCGGUUACGGCAUGGGUGGGAUGGGCAUGGGCGGUGGAAUGGGCAUGGGCGGUGGAAUGGGCAUGGGCGGAUACGGUGGUGGCAUGGGCCGUGGCGGGCAGGGCGGCUACGGCGGCGGCUACGGGUCAGGGUACGGCCAGGGUGGGUACGGCGGCUCGGGCGGUGCGGAUUACGGGGCGUCUGGUGGUAUGGGCCAGCGGUCGCAGCAGGGCGCGACGCCGGUGUCGCCCACAGGGGUCUCGGGCGGCGCCGGCUACGGCGCCACUGGCGCGAGCGGAUACGGCGCCAGCGCCGGCCAGCAGUCAGGCGCCGCCGCCGGCAGCACUGGCUACGGUGCUAGCUCCGGCUAUGGUGCGAGCCAGGGCGCCUCCGGCUACCAGCAGCAAUCGCAGUACGGCGCACAGGCGGGCGGAUACGGCGCCCAGCAGAGCUCCGGCUAUGGCGCUCAGCAGCAGUCAGGCUACGGGCAGCAGCAGAGCUCCGGGUACGGUGCGCAGUCGGGCUACGGUCAGCAGCAGCAGCAGCAACCCGCGGCCGCGACUGGGUACGGCAGCCAACAGGCCGCUGCCAGCAACUACCCGACCUCCUACUCGGCACCUGCGCAGGUAGGCGCGCCGGGGCUUUAAUGAUGUUUUGUACAUGCACUGUUUGUCAUGGAACGUCAAUGGAACGUCAAUGGAACGUCAAUGGAACGUCAAUGGGUGCGCGCGCUAGCAAGCAAGGAGGGGACUACGGUACUGGGCAUUGCAGACUAUCAGGGCUGAAUCCUGGUGGUUGCUGUGUGAAUUGUGCAGGCGUACCCGGCGUCCGGGUACGGCGCAAGCACCACCACCCAGGCCGCCCCGGCCACUGGCUACGGCCAGGCCCAGACCGGGUAUGGCUCACAGGCUGCGUCGGGCUACAGCCAGCCAGCUACGCAGUCGUAUCCGACGUCGUACGCGGCGGCACCGCAGGCAAGUUUGCACACAAACAGUUUGAAGCUCGAAACUGGUCCGUGUUCUGCGUGGUGGGAUGGAAGCUAAGUUUUGUCGUUUUUAUUUGGCGAAGCAAUUGAUAUAAUGCGGUCCGCUCCCUCGAUACACUGGUUUGCUUGCAGGCCUACGGCAGCGCAGCGCAGCAGCCGGCACAACAGGCGGCACCCCAGUACAGCGCGCCCGCGCAGGCCGCCACCGGCUACAGCCAGCCGGCGGCAGCGGCAGCGGCGCAGCCCGCGUACGGCGCAACCCAGGGCUACAGCCAGCAGCCGGCAGCCGGUUACGGCAGCUACAGCCAGGCUACGGUGAGUCUUUGUUACCGAUGUGCGUCUGUGCCUCCUUUGCUUGAGCCUGUCCUGAAUGCAGCCCUCACGCCUGCAAUCUGGACUGCGCAUAUUGACAUCGUACUUGGGUCCACACUGCCCAUUCAUAGGCCUACGGUCAGCAGCAGCAGCAGCAACCGCAGCAGGCGGCUUACGCUGCAGCGGCUGGCGGCUACACACAGCAGCAACAGCCCGCUGCUCAGGCCAGCUACUCCGCUUACGGGCAGCAGCAGCAGCCUCAGCAGGCGGCACAGCAGGGGUACGCGGCGUACGGGCAGCAGCAGGCGGGCUACGGGCAGCCGCAGGCGGCGGCGCAGGUGGGCCAGAAGCGCGAGGGAGAGGCGUACGGCGCCUACGCGGCCGGUGGUUACGGUGCGGCUGCUUACGACGCGAGCAAGCGCCCGCGCUACUAGACCUACCAACCACCACCCUCCCACCUACACCAACUCCUCCUUCCACCUUGCGCGUAUAGCAAUAGCACACCAGCACGGUGCGGCCUCUGCUUGGGUGCCUGCGUGCCCCAGUCCCCGGGAAGGGAGGUAUGAACAGGGUGCGCUCGCGGCAGCAGGGCGGGACGUUGUGUCCCAGGUGCUUGGGGUAUUAGGGUUUGGCAAGGUGUUGCUGUUGUGCUAAAUGCGGAGCUCUCCGCACUACGCCCGGGGUUGGUUUUGGGGUUGACGGUCAUGUGGGUCAAGUGUGACGUAAUGGUCUCUCGCGUCGGUCCUGGGCCAUGGGUUGCCGCUGUUUCUCGGGGUUCCACCUUGCGCUGAACAGCGCUCUAGUAGCAAUGGAUUGCGUGGCUGGGAAGUAAACGCCGCGCUGUGUGUGGUGCGGUGCUGAUGCAAGACUUGACUAAGGCAAGCACGCGCGGGCUGCGGACGUAGGAAGGAGGGUGGCUGGACUGAGGAUAGCACGAUGUUGGACACAACAUGAGGGGUACAGGGUGAAGGCGUGGGAGCAAAACUCGGGAACAUGUUAUGCACAUCAGCUUCCGCCAUACCCCUGCUACGCAUCAGCUAGGCUUCAGGCCCAUGCCGACGCCGCUAACCAUAACGGCGUCAACCCCCGCCAUGUGUCCAUGUGGCGAGCCGCGUGGAGGAUGCUGCUCCCGGCAAAGCGGCCGGGUCGUCGUGGACAUCCAGCGGCGAUUGAAGCGCCACAACAACGGUACCCCCAAGGCGCCAGCGUUCCGGUAUGGUGCCUGGGUUUCGGGACCGGUAAUCGAUGGUCAUCUGGGUCACUGGACGAGUAGCAGCUCACGGGCGAGGGCUUCAGAUUGACGGCGUGGUGGGUGGAUGGGUUGCAAGACAACCUGAGGCGUGUAUGCAGUACAAGGCUGGGUUCAUACUCGCGUCUUUCGGUUGGUGUCCAUGAAGUGGGAUUAUGGUGCGAGGGGCCGGUGCGAUGCCUGGCUGGGGUCAUAAGGGUUGACGAUUGCCAUCCACGUGAGCGGGCUAAGUCGGGUUACCCACUGGUUGUACAUCUGGGCAUUGGGUCCAUCGCUUCAGGACAUGGGGAUUCAGGACAAGCUGCAAUGGGGUGAUUUGGGGAUGAGGAACAGCCGACAGAAGAUGGGCCUUGGCAGUAGCUGCUGCAGACUCUGGACUCCCGCACCCUCCAGAGCCCUAACCUGUGCAGGAGGCGCACUCACAGGGCGGCCAGUCACUCGAGCUCAGCAGAGUCAACGGUAUGACGUGGACGAUUGACCUGCAGCAGCUCGCGAGUCCAGCCAGCUGGCGCCUGCGUUCAGGAAAGAUGCUGUCCGGGUGACGAGUACAGGAUCACAGGGAGGGUACAGUAAUGUGGUCGAGGGGCUGGGUCGUUCACUCGUGAUGCUUGCACCGCUCCAAUGGCAGAUGUUGAGCGUCCCUGUGGUUGUGCCGGUCAGUUGCAAUACUGCAAUACGUGGCAGGGGUGAACCCCAACGGAGGCCAAUGGCAACCCAUGUAAACAAAAGCGGAGGUGUGGGCCUGUGUGGGUGUGCGAUGGGUACGAAUUCACCUUGUGCGCCACGGCGCCACCGCGCUGGUUGACCUCAGGCCCUCAGCGCAGCCUAGCGCAGCAGUGCGGCGUGGGGCUCGGAGCCAGAGCUGUUUCUCAAUUGUGGUAAUGAAUGAACCGACUGGGGGAGCCCGACAGCCCGCUCGGGGACUGCCCAGGCCUCGGGACGCGGGCGGCAUGGUCCAGGCCCAACCGCAGUAGCAGAUCUCCAGCACAAGGCAGCAGCUACCAAUUGCUCAGAAUGUUGCAUACAUACUUUAGCGCCUUCAGUAUUACUCUGGUCUUGGUAUUAUCGUGACAGACCGCAACAACUUUCAGCACAUCGUUUCGCGCUCACAGCUUGCCAAGAUGGUGAAGACUACAAGCCACUUCACUAACAAACGUGGCCAGAAGCUCUAUUGGGUUGCGCACGUGCCCGACAGCGGCGAGGUCAAAGCUGUGUUGUGCUGGCAUCACGGUCUGGGAGGUGAGACUAGACGGACUUCGUACGUAAACCCUCUGUUGACGGAUUAUGACGCAAAGGUUAUGAUCGCGCUUGUGUUAGACCUUGAGGCGCCUUAGCCUUGGUCCAUGUCUGAACGCCUGAAUUGCUGACGAGCGUUUUCCCCCCCGCGCUGCAUCAUCGCAUCGACUUAUCGGCUACAGAGUACAUCGAUCGCUUUGAUGCAAGUAAGUAUACCCAGGCACUGGCUCAUAUUGGUGGCAGUUGCUGACAGCCCCCGGUUGUGCCCCCGUUGUUCUCCCGACCUUGGCCCUCUUGCGCCGUGCGCCUUGGCGGUUGGCCGUGCUUUGUAUCUGUACACGUGCCAGGCAUGCAUUGUCGUGUCCUUAACCUUCGGAUGCACGAACAACGUGCCUGCAGCCUUCAAGGUGUGGGCGGACGCCGGCAUUGCCGUGUAUGGCUUCGAUGUUCACGGCAUGGGUCUAUCGGAGCCGUCUAAGGCAUCUGAUCGCAUCCUGGUCAAGAAGUUUGACUAUCUGCCGGAGGACGCCAUCCACUUUCUGGAGGAGGUGCUGCAGGUGAGACCUUGAUGGCAGGGACCUAGGCGCUUGGUGGGCGCCAGGCUGCUCCGCACGCCAGCUCUCCAACGCACAACGCCUCAUGCUCCCUCUAUGCAUUACCACACCUACCGUAUACCCGCUAACCCAGCCGCUUGCCCUGCCCCGCCCGCGCCACCAUCUUCGCACCUGCAACCGCAGCCAGCUUUGAAGGCUAACGGCACCGACUCCAAGCCGUUGUUCAUGGCGGGCAACAGCCUGGGCGGGCUGGUGGGCAGCCAUGUGGUGUUGCGGCGGCCCGACACCUUCGCCGGACUGCUCAUGCAGUCGCCAGGUGAGCGUGGGUGCCGGAGACCCCGUGCGGUCAUGCUGGAGUCGUGCUGGGGUCGUGGGGUCAUAGAUGCGAACGUACGCCAGCAAGGGUCCCGCGCUCAUGUGCCUUCCCUGCCGUCGUGCCCCUCUGCAGCCAUCGACGUGGAGUGGACGCCCAUCCUCAAGUUCCAGGCCGCAGUCGGAAACAGUGAGUUCGGGUGUGUCGCCAGUACUACUACGCACAUCCACCCUAGGUCAUCCAGAGCUAUGGUUGUUUGCAUCAUUCCCACGGAGGGGGUGCGUCCCAGCCUGUUGUCAACGCCGCUCCACGCCCGCGCCCCCUCUGCCUCCGUGGCCAACCGCGCCAACCGCCCUACCCGCGCACACACCCUGUGCCCGCAGUCCUGGCCGCCAUGGUGCCUCGCGCGCACCUGGUGCCGGCGGUGCGGCCGGAGGACAUGAGCCAGGACCCGGCGGUGGUACAGGCCUACCUGGACGACCCGCUCAUCCCCAAGGGCAACGUCAAGGCGCAGACCGGCAAUGAGUGCCUGAAGGUGCGGUGCGGCGGCGUCCUGGCGGGCGGGCGGCCUGCCUGGCGGGCGGGCGGGCGGGCGGCACGGCGGGCGGGUUGUGGGGGUCAAGCAUGGCGUGGAGCGGAUGGGGUGGGGCACGUAGGAGGUGGCAUGUGCGUGGGAAGAGGGAGCUGCGGUGAUCAUGAGGAUCAGCACCGCUGGGAGCAGUGCUCUUCGCUGCGGCAGUGGUGAUGAUGUGGGUUCGGCUAAUGGCGCCUUAACCGGUACAGGUGUUAGAAAGAACGGCCCGUGUGUUGGAGGAAAGGGCCCGGGCGCAGCUGCUGGUGCCGGCAAUGACGAUUGACGUCUUGCCGUGUUGCACGCAACCCCCCUCCCCAUGCACAGGGCUUCCGCGCUCUGGUGCCGCUGCGCAAGCAGUUUAAGCUCCCCAUCUAUGCUGUGCACGGUACAGACGACAAGUGCACCAGUCUCCCGGUAGGUGCCGCAAGGGCGUGGCGCGUUUGGCAGCAAAAGCACACCACCCGCAGGAGCACCUUGCAAGUUACAGCGCAACACCCGUACGGUUCCAUCCCAAGUGCAUAGCCUCGAUGCAGCUGUCUCCGACGCUCAAUCUCGGCCCCGCCGUCACGUGUGUCCGCCGCACCGCACCACCCACAGGCACUGCGCGAGCACCUGAAGCACGUGAGCAGCAGCGACGUGACGCUGAAGGAGGUGCCGCAGGGCCGCCACGAGCUGCUGUUCGGGCCGGAGAAGGAGGAGGUGCGGGCGGAGAUGCGCGACUGGAUCCUGGCGCACGCCAAGUGAGGUCUUGACGGGUGUCUAGGCUAGCCACUUGUGGUGGUGUGUGGCGGGGGCGCAUGUGGCCGGAGCACAUGCCGGGGGCUGAGGGGUUUCCGAGUAUCGGGGAUCGUCGUGCUAAGGUGAGGGGCUGUAUCGCGCGCAGCGGUCGAAGACGGCAAUGACUAUGGACUUACGGGUUCUGAACGCCAAUCAAGGGAGGCAGAAGCAGAGCUGGGACGGUGUGCUGGCCGUGUGAUUACUUGCAAGAACGGGCUGGCCCCACAGUAUAGCCAGCAGAUGGUGGAUACUGUUUAUUUGUGACACUGUGUCGGAUGUUAUGCUCACCUGGUCUUCAUGUGAGGGAUUUCUUCAGAAAUUGAGACGGCAUGGCCGCGUGGGAUGGUGAGGUGCGCAGCGCAAGGCAGGCGUGAUGUGUGCAAAGCGGUGGGAUAGGCUUCCACCUUCGCAUUUACCGUGAUAUAUCCGGCGUGCUGCCUGGACACAAUAAGUAUUGUAUCGAUGCGCCAUUGAGCUAGAUAGUAAGAUAUGGAGGCAGGAGUGCAGGACAUCUGCGUCGCCCUGCGUGCUGAGGGAAGGCGAAGCCACAUAGAUGCAACAGUGCAAGAGCAAGGUGGUGAGACUUGUAAGAGCGGCAAGCCUCCGAACCCGCUGGCUAGUGGCUACCGCCGUAGCAACAUAAUGCUCAGUUGGUCGCGUCCUCUACAAUCAACAGCACGAAAGGCGGCUGGCACAAACAAACAGCGAAUAUCGGGCUAAAGGGCUGGCACGGCCGGCUGGAGCGGGAUGAGCGCAUGUGUGUGUGGGAGGGUGACCUGACGCACCAAACUUAAAGCUCAUUCCGUUCCAAUAGUGCGUAUAACUUAGGUUCCACGAAACAACUUUUUCUUACAGUUCAAGCUCGGUGCUCUUCAGAGCGCGUUUCCUAGUUUAGGAUGCCAAACUGGACGUCGUUCGCGUGCUUGUUACUUGCGCUCCUUGUAGCCGGAUCUAACGCCGUCGAUGACAAGCAAACGAAAUGCAGCGAGCUAGGCUUCAUCAACCCGGCGUGCUCAGACUGCGAGUUGCUGUCGCAAUUUGUGAAAGAUGAGGAGCUGGUGCGAGACUGCAAGGGAUGCUGCGUACAGGACGAGGCGGUCAAGAAGUACACCAAGGUGUGAAAGGGGGGAGUGCCGGUUGUGUUGCGAACCUUGGGGCUGUGGGGCGGACGGCGCAUAGGCACGCGGCGGGAGGAGCUGCCCUCUCCGGGUUGCGCUCAGUGCGGCAUGUGAAGCAUGGCCUCUGGGCACCGCUGUGCAAGCGAGCUGAAUUUUCGGUGCAUGGAGCAUAGAAGGACUGGGGUGCUUACGGAAGCGGAGCAGGAUCAGAUGCCCAACGUAUUGUGUGCGUGGUGUGUUGAGUAUGGGAGGGCGCACAGGGCAUUCCGCGCGGCGCUUUAAUGGUUCAAUGUCUGCCCUGUGUCUUGCAUGUCUUCCUCGCGGUUGCUACUUGCAGGCGGAGCUCAUCAUCGACCAGUGGCGUGCCAGGUGUGUGGCGGGGACCCCUCAUGGCAGAGUGUUGCUAGGGGUGAUGUACUGAUGUGCGGCGCGGUUCGGGGUGCGUGGGGCGCGUAGCAGCUGGACGCGUUUGUGAGGCACGUGCCGGUGGCGGCAUUGCCGUAGGGAUGGUUGCGGCCUGUCGUGACCCUACUGCGUAGCUCCCGCAAAUAGUUACAAGGUGCUGGCGCACCUUCUCUGGUGCCUAUACAUCCAACCGCUGGGAAACGACUUCCCUACUCGUGUCCGUCAGGCGCUCUCCUAGCAGGCCAGUCCCAUACCUACCCUAUCCCUGCCCCUACCCUAUUCGGCUAUCCCCCACACAGCACGCUGCAGCAGAUCAAGGACUUUAUUGAUAAGCGGGCCGCGUCCUUCGCGCCCCACCUCAAGGUGCGGUGCGGUCAUAUUGAUAGCACAAAGCGAAAUUAGCGUGCCGCGCACUGCUCUGCAGCAGUAUGACGUUAGGCCCGCGUCAUGUGCAACAGAGACGUUAGGCCCGCGUCAUGUGCAACAGAGCAGGUGUACCACGGUUUCAGUGUGUCAACACAGCCACCGCAUGUAACAAGCUGUGCAAGAUGGCAUCUGACGCGCCCCACCGUCUCUGUUUGCCAGCCAUGCGAAUGCAGACUAGUGACCCCACCCCCGUCCUAGCGCCUCCUGGUCUUUGUCUGACUGGGGAUGGCGAGACUCCACACCCCACCCUUGCUUCGCGCGUCUGCACACCCGUUACUCGCAGGUUGCGUACACGCACGGCGCGACGCCCAAGAUCCGGCUCAGCGGCGGUGUGGACGGCGCGCCCAGCGAGACAGUGCGCAUUGACAACUGGAAGGCGGACCACAUCGCCGAAUUCCUGGACCAGCGCCUGGAGCGCAGCGCGGCGGCGGCGGCGGCGGCCAAGGGCAGCAAGGACAAGGCAGGCAGCAAGAAGAACAUCAAGUAGGGGGCUAGGAGGCGAAAAAUGGCCGUGGGGUGUCCCUAAGUUUACGGCCUGCCAAAGGUUGACGGCGUCAUCAGGGCGGUGGGUGGGCGUCGUCGGCAAUGGCCGUCAGGCAGGACCUGUUUGCGGCAAUGGCUUGCAGUGGCGGUCGGGUUGGUAAGUGUGCUGCUCGCAGGCCGCGCAUAAACGUUCAGACUCCGGGGUCAUGCAGGCUUCGGGAUCGCGUGUUGCGUGCACGGGCUUGCCGUGGUGUGGAGGAUUUAAUAGUGUGGUAAGCUGCCGGCACCGAGAUGACUUAUUCUGUGUAACAAUUUAUACGGCUUACUGUUGAAUUCCCGCCUUCCAGCACCCUACCUCGUCAGCACCCUGCAUUACACUGCACGCCUUUCCCAUCCCAGCCGGACCCGCCGCUGAAGGAGCACUCCUCAAUGCCGCAUAAGCCAGUGCUUGAGCGCUUGAGCUGCAGUCCCACAGCCUGCUACCACAAAUCAAGCCUUGUUUUUGUCAUGCCACUGCCCUACCUGACCUAGGCACAAGCAUCCUCCCACAUUCGCCUCUCUACCCAGUCAUCGCUUGCAGUUUCUAUACGCCCGCGAGUACCGCAGCUGCUAUUCCUCCAGGUUCUACUGCUAUUGCUGCUGGGGCUGCUGCAGCGGCGGCAGCAUCAGAUCCGCCACCAGCCGCUCGUUGGCGGCCAGCGCCUCCGCCGCCUCGGCCUUGAGGCGGCUGAUGCGGUCGCGCAGCAUGGGGUUGUCAAGCCGCACCAGCCGGUUGGAGGUGAGCGCGGCCUGUGGGAAUGAGCGGCGCCGUUGGGGAGACAAGACAAGAAUGGGCUGGGUACGAGAAUGUGAGGCGGGCAAAUGUGAAGAUGUGGGCUCGCAACGGGUGCAGCUUGUGGGUGCAGUUCCACUUGGUCCAUCCUUCACGGGUCCCCACGUCCCCUGCCUCAGUUGCGCACCUGCACGCGCAGGUCCAGCACCUCGUCCCGCAUGGCCUGCGCCUCCAGCAGCAUCUGUGCGGGUGGCCGCACACACGCGUGGGAAAUGGGGCAAAGGUGAGCCUGGUCGGUCAGGAUUUGCUACCCUGCGACCACGCUGCUCAGCCCCAAAGCACUUAUACUUACCAUCUCUAGCGCCUUGAUGGGGUCACCAAGGCGCACCGCCAGAUUGGCGCCCGGCGGCGCCGCCGCAGCCGGCGGCGGCGCCAGACCUAACCGCCCGCUGCCACUAAAAUCCGGUGCCUUUAAUGGCAUGCCCAGGCCCCCAGGCGACGGCUCCAGUGCGCCCGACACCCCCGCUGCCAUUGCCGGGAACGGGGCGCCGCUGGUCGGUGUCACCGCAGUGGAGCCCGCGGCAGCGCCCGCGGGCCCACAGCCGCCGCCAGGCCCCGUGAUGGUCCAGGCGGGACGUACGCUCACCGGCGGCGUCACGGAGGUGCCGGCGUCGGCAAAGGUGAAGGACACUGCGAGCGCCGGCGCCGCCGCCGGCGCAGCAGCGACCGGUACCGCGGGCUGCACUGGCUGCAGCCCCACCGCUGGCGGCGUUGGCGCGGGCGCGGGCGCGGCGGGCGCCAGAGGCGGCGUGUGCAGCACUGGCGUCACAAGGCUGGGCGUUGCGGGCAGUGCCUGGCGCGCCAUCAGCGAAGGUGGUGCAUCGGCUGCAUGGAGCCUGCUGGGCCCGUGUGUGUGCGGCGGGCGGGGCUGUGGCACCGGUAGCGGCGGAGUGACCACGGCCGUGGCGGCGGCGGGCAUGGUCACAACCUCCAGAAUUGGCAGACUCGCGGCCGGGACGUCGGCCGGAGGUGCGGGCGCAGUUGCGGGUGCGUGCGGGACCUUGGGCGGCUCGGACGGCCCGGCAGCACCCACAGGCGGCUGGUUGGCAGGAGCACCGUGGCGCCCUAGCCCCAGCGCACGGAGCCCGCCGCCGGCGUCGGCUUUGGGCGGCGGUGCGCCGUUGCUGAGGGGUGCAGCCGCUGCCGAGGCUGCCACUGGCGCCACUGACUGCAGCGGCUGCGUCUGCCGCUGCAGCGGAAGCUGCGGCCGCAGAAUGGGCGCACUGCUGGCCCCGGCACUGCCACUGGCAGCGCCGGCACCGGCUGUAGCACCGAGCACUGGCCUGGACGGCUGCAGCAGCGGCAUGGGCUGCACUGCCUGUGGCUGCGGCUGUGGAGCUGGUGCCGUGCCUGGGGGCGCGAGCGUCGGUCGACGCAUUGCUGGCCCGGCAAGCCCCAGCAUCCCCACAGCUGGUGCCGGCGCGGCAGUGAACACCGGCGGCGGUGGCGCAGAUGCCACGGGCAGGUGCAGCGCCGCUCCGCCGCCUGAGGUGCUGGCGCCGCCACCCAGGGUUCCGCGGGAUGCGCCAGUCAGCGCAGCCGCUGCGGUGCUGAGUACAGCCGGCGUAGCAGCGGCAGCGGUUUUAGGCGCUGGCGGCAGGGGCUGGGGCAGCGUUAGUACACGUGCUGGCAGAGGGCCGCCCGGACCGCGCAUUGCCGCCACCGCGGGUUGCUCCGCCGGCUGCUGUGCCCUAACCGGAGCUGGCGCGGUGGCAGGCGCAUCCGUAACCGCGGCCGUGCUCGCCAUGAUGACGGGUGUAGGCUCUGCUGCUGCCGGCGUCGCCGUUACUUGUUGCGCUGCGGCAGCAGCCUCGGCAGCCUCCUUGGCCUCGCAAUCAGCAUGAGCGCGCGCCUCAGCCGCCUCAGCCUGCCGUUUGGCCUCCUGCUGCCUGGUCAACGUGUCGGCAGCAGCCUGCCGCUCCCCUUGCUCUGCCUCCGCCUGCUGCGCCUGAACCGGCGCCGCCGCCUGUACCUUUGCCUGGUGCAUUGCUGCUUCAGCCGCAGCUACGUUAGCGACCUCCGCAGCGGCUGCUUGCUGCGCUACCUUCUCGGCCUCUACCGCCCGCUGAAUCGCAGCCGCGGCGGCGGCGGCCUGUCGCGCGGCCUCCGCCUCAGCCGCCUGAUGCGACGCCGCUUCCGCCGCACGCGCCUCCUCGGCUUGCCGUGCCGCUGCAGCUGCUGCCUGCUCCAUCUGUGCCUGCUGCUGAGCUGCCGCUGCCACUGCAGCUGCCUCAGCCGCGGUGGCGGCAGCCUGUGCUGCUGCCUCUUGCACAAGCCCCGCCUGCUGCCGAGCCUCCGCCGCUGCAGCGGCAGCCUGCUGCUCAGCAGCCAGAGCCGCAGCCGUGGAAGCGUCGUCCUGCAACUGCGGCGCCGCGCCCUGCUGCACUACGCUGCCCUCCUCGUUUGCGCCGGCGCCGGCACUGGUGUCGGCCGCAGCGGCUGUGGCAGCGUGUGGUAUGAGUCCGGUGAUGGCGCUAUCGACUCCGCCGCCCUCGUCGCCGUCGUCCAUGCCCAGCAGGAGCGCAUUAAUGUCGUCUGCGGGUCAUACGUGUAACGUGCAAUGGGAUGGGAUCAGACUACGGGAGCGCAAGCGAAGGCAAACCGUUGCGGGGAACCCGCUGACAAAGACUUGCACACGCAUGCGUCAACCUAGCUGUCACCUGGGUCCAACCGCACUCAUCACCCGCGGCCUUUUGCUCAUCACGCACCAUCGUCGUCCACCAGGCCGGCAGGAGUGCCAGCGCCGGCUUUGGGCCCCGCGGCGGCAGUGGUGACGGCCUCCGCGGGUUCCUUCGCGGCCAGCGCUGGUGGCGGGGCCGGCGCCGGGGCAGGCGCGGGCGCGUCGUCAUCCUUCACCGCAAAGUCCUUGAACAUCUCAUCCUCGUCGUCACUAUCCUCCAUCUGAAAUUUCUUCUUGAUGGCGGGCUUGGCCCCGCCAGCCCCGACGGCCUUGAAGGAGAAUAGCGAGCCGCUGCAUGAUCACCAAAAACGGAGGUGAGCAGCGGCCCCGGUUUGAACUUGCUCCUCCGAGCCUCACUGCUGAUCGUAAGCAUGCGACAGGCUGAGUAUGGUGGGGCACAUGCUUCCUGUUGCUGUGCAGGAGCGAAGCAAGGAAUGAAAAGCAGCUUACCCGGGCUUCGCUGCGGCAGCGGUCGCGGGCUUGGCCGCGGCCGCGGCUCCUGCCGGCUUGCUGCCGCCCCAGGCAUCGUCUGCGCUCGGAAGAUCGCAGCCACAGGUAGAUCAGGACGGGGAGCGGUCAACGCAGGUCAGCGCGAGGGCUUCAAGCGCAGUAAGGCCGCUCACCGUCUUCGUCGAAAAAUGAUCCCAUCAGCUUCUGUACUAGGGACCUGUUUAUGUUACAUGCGUUGUGCGGCGUGGUGACAGCGCGCUGGAGACUACGGACCGGAGCGAAAGCGGGAUUCGCUGGCGGCAUUUGGCGGGAGGGGAGCCAUCCGGUCUGCAUGCCAGGAUUUUGAGCACCACAAGUGCGCCGCGGGGCUGCCCUGUCUUUCAGUCAUACGAUUAUGCACCGCUGGUCUCCCGCCACGUUUGUAACCCACGUUCUCGACCUGACGCUGAAGCGCCGUUAGAGUAGGCUUAGGCCCGAGCAGGCUUUUCCGCUCGCUUAGCCUUUAUUGCCGCGGCCACCUGGGUUUGCAGUAGGACAGCCCGGUGCACCCUUAGCUGCAGCACAAGCUUAGCGGCGGCGCGGAGAGGAGAGGCGCGGUGAGUUUGGCGCCAAAGCGCAGGCGCCAGGCUUGCCGGCGCCAACCCAGACGCAAGCGCUGAUCGGCAUGGGCUUGGCUAACGUUUGCGACAGUGUCCUUGUUCGCUUGCGUCAUUUCCCCAGGCCGCUAACAACCGCGUUUCGGGUCGUUAACCCCCCCCUCCCCUCCCGUUUCCAGGCAGGAGAGCGGCCGCGCUGCUGCGGUGCUCGCCUCGCGCGCACAUGGACUAUGGUGCUGCUGGCAGCUCUGGGUCAGCCCAUGGCUUGACGCUGGGGCGGGGGCCCGGUGUCGCUGACGACGCGCCAGGCGCGCUGCAGCAGCCCGCGACCGCGCCUGCUAGCACGGCCGCGGCUACGACCGGGGCCCAGGCGCAGCUGCCGUGGAGCUACUGGCACACCUUUAGCGGCGAGGCCGGCCAGGACGGCUCGGCGCAGCUGGGUCAGCCGAUUACGUGGCAGCCGGCGCCGACCCACAUCGCGGCCGCGGCAGCUCGGCGGCAGCAGCCCGCGGCCGGGGGUCGCCUGAGACACCACUCGGAGCAACUACCAGCAGCUGCCGGUCCAGCUUCUGGCAGCUUGCGCAGCGGCGAGAUUGGCGAUGUGGGUCGGCCGCCACCAGGCCCUUCGCGGCCGACCGGCGCAGUCUCGGGACCCUCGGCGCCGGCGCAGGCGCAGGCGCAGCAGCUUGUGCAAUCGCCAAUGCUGUGCGGGGAACAGCUGCUGUGGCCGGGGGAGCCUCAACCAGGAUCCAUCUCCGCUGCUACACAUGCUGCUGCCGCCGCCACCGCUACCUCAGCAGGCGCGCCUUCAGACGACCCAGUGGCGGCACCGGCCGCGCAUGCCGGCGGACCGGUCUUGACAGCGGCUGGCGUGGAUCUGAGUGGGUCCUUCGCCUUCGCUUCACCAUCCGCGAGUGGCGCGCCAAAUGGGAACGGCACCAGCAGGCGAGGGCGUGUCACUGCCCCCAGCGCCGACAGUGGCGCCGCCAGCAAAUUGCUGCGUCGCCUCAGCAGAACGCCACAGCCCCUGGAGGAGCCAGAGAGCGCUCUUGGUGAUGCCGCAAACCUUGGCAGCGGCAACGUCCUCCCACCCUCUACCUCAUCAGCCGCCGGUGCUGCCGCGGCGGCGGCGGUGGUAGCUGCGGCAGCGGCGGCGGUUCUUCAACAGCAUCAGCCGCAGCAAGGGGGCGCUACCGCGGCGCCGGCGCAGCAACAACAGCCUCAGCGCACCUCGCUGCGAGUGCGGCGGAGCAAGGCCGUGGCUGAGGCGCAGCAGUUGGCUGCCGCUGCCAUGCCGCCGCCCGCGCCUAAGGCUGCAACAGCCAGAAGCAGCAAGAAGGGCAACCGCUCUAGCGCCACGCCCCCGGCGUCCGAAACGUCUGGUGGUGCGCUAACGGCCACCGGCCGUGCACCGUCGCCCAGCGUGGCAGCGUGUGUUGGGGCCAGCGGUAGCCACAGCGUUGGGGCCGACACAUCAGCCCCCACUGCAGCCGGCAGCGGCGCACUGCCCGGCGCUGCGGGCGGCAACUGGCUGCCUCAGGACGGCCCGCUGGCGGGUCUCAUUAACCUGCGCAGCCCACCCGGCGUAGCCCGGCUGACCGGGCACAGCAUCAAGUGCGUGCUAGGUGGGGAUACCGCCGCCUCAGCCUCGGCCUCCGCCACGCAAGAAGCCAUGGCGUCCGGCCCUCCGCCGGCCCAGCCUGGCUUUUCCUUCCUUCCUUUCGGAGGCGCUGCAACCGCUGCCCCCGCCCGGGUUGCAGCGGGACAGGGCACGGCCUCGGCGGUCGUGGCGCGCGGGGAGGGCAGCGCCGCCGCGGGCACACCCAUCCCGCGUUCAACCGCUGCCGCCGCGGAUACAAAUGCUGGUACCGGGACUGGACCUGCGGGCUACGGCUAUGCUGGCGGCAGCAAUGUCGUUACAAGCGCAUGGCUGCAGCGGAGCUACAGCGAGGCAUUGCAGCCCGGCGAGCCGUGUGCAGCAAACCGCCCGGUGAGCGGCAACACCCCAGACCCCUUCCUGGCACAUCCCCACGAACCGCCCCAAGGCCUGAGCCCAGCGGCUGGCGCGGGCGGGGUCGCCUACCUUCCGGUCAUCUACCACGCCGGCUUUCCGACGCAGCCGCAGCACCAGCCCCAACAGCCGCAGCAGCAGCACCAAUGCCAGCAGCCGCGACAGCAGCACCAGCAGGCGGCGCGGCAGCCGUCGCCGGAGGUGCGGCAACAGCCACAGCAGCAUAUGCAGCACCUUGAGGAGCACCAGCCCACCGUUCAGCAUGGCCCCUACCCACCCACCACGCAGCAGCCCGCGCAGCUGCUCUUCUCGCAGCCCUCGCUGCCUUACCGGCACCCGGCGCAGCAAGGCGUGUACGCCCUUAGCCAGCAGCCACAGUACCCACAGCACGCGCCCGAGUACUGCCAGUACGUGUACGCGGGCCAAGCCCCGCCUCCGCAGCCCUACUACGCGCACGGUGGCGGCUAUGGCGGUGGAUACGGGGCGUACCCACAGCAGAUGUGGUAUUGCGCGGUGCCUGCAGCGGCGGGCAGUAACACGGGUGGUAGUGGGCAGCAAGCGGCCGUUGGCAGCAGCAGCAGCUACUACGCCGGCAGCUGGGCGAUGGAGGCGAGCGGGGCGGCGGCCGGCGGCCCCAGCGCCGCCUCCUCCCUUUAUGAGCAGUUCAGCGGUCCGCUGGGCGCACAGGGGCAGUCCACGGGGCCGGGUGGCGGACACGGCAGCUUCCGCCCGGCGGUUGGGUCACAGCCAACCGCGUCGCCGUUCCGCGUGGAGCUGUCGCAGCCUGCCAUCGCCGGGGCCCGAGCCGCAGCGGCCGACUAUGAUGCCCGCCAGCCGAGUCAAGCCCCCGGUUAUGGAGCCGACACGACGGCUGCCGCGCUGUACGCUCGCAGCCACCACCAUAACUAUGCGCAGCACCAGGAGCGCUAUCCACCGCAGCCGCACUACCCACAGCAGCAGCCGACGGGGCAUCAGCAGCAGCUGGUGUGGCACGAACCAUCGGCCCAGCAACAGGGACCGGCGGCCAUGUACUCCCAGCAGCCACCAGUGCCUUGCGCGAUCGCCGCUGCGCCGCACCCAUACGAGCAGCAGCCCGGCACACAGGUCCCGUCACAGCCCGACCAGCACGGGCCGCCGCAGCGCGCGCCGUACAUGCUGGAACUGCCCGACCUGUGCCUGCUCAUGGAUAUCGGCUCGCCCGGCAGCUUUCGGCAGUUGCGCCGCAUCAGUGCCGAUGGGGGCGGCGGUGGCGCCGCCGCCGCCUCUGCAGCUACCGGCGCCACUCCUUCCGCCGCCGCUGCAAGCCCAGCUAGGCGUGGCGCGUCCGGUGCUGAUGCCGGACCCAUAUCGCCGCUUGCGCUGGCAGCGCUGCUAGACAGCCCCGCGGUGCUCAGCCGGCGCUCGAGCCUGGCCCUCAACCUCGGCCGCCAUGACGCGGCGGCCGCCGCCGCCACCCAGGGCUGGCUGUCUCCGCUUCCCGGCCUCAACCGCGGCGCUGCCAAGCCUCCGCCCGCAGCUGCAGCACCCGCAACUGGGGCGUCCGCUCGCGCGGCCGCUGCGGCUCGCGCCGGGGUUCCGCCCGAGGAGGCCGACGCGGGCUCUCACGAUGCCAGGUUGCCUCGGGGUGCGGCGUCAGCGGCCAAUGUCGCCGUUGGGAGCGAGGCAACCAUGCCGGCCCCAACGCAGCAGCGCCGCGGCCGUGUGCGUGUCCCGACUUCGUCCGCCGUAUCGCUAGGCGGCCCGCAGGCAGCGGCGGGGGUACCCACCGCGCAGCUGCUAGCUGGGCCGGAUACCGCUGCAGGAGCUGCUGCAGGAGAAGCGGCUGCACCGCAGCCUGCUGCCGCUGCUGUCGCCAACACUUCAGAGACAGCUAAUGCCAGUGGCGCCGCUGCUGCAGCUGCAGCCGCUUCCACUUCACCCCGCCCGCGCGCCCCGGUCGUGGUAACAGCAGUGCCAUUCGGCGCCAGCCCGCCGCGCGUGGCGGGUUCUGCAGCUGCGGAGGACCCUGAUGCUAUGAUGUCCUUGUUCGGCGGCCGCGAUGAUGACUACACCAUGUAUGGCAGUCCGGGCGGGCUCGGCGGCCUGGGCCUGGGCCUCGGCUUGACCUUGGGGCAGCAGUGGAGCCUGACGCCGCUGCGCUCGCCGUCGUCCCUGCUGGUGCCCAGCUGGCGGUCGGCUCUGCCGAGCGCUCUGGUCGGCCUCGCAGCCGACGGCGUCGCUGGCGUCAACAGCCGGAGUACAGAUGAAGGCUGCGAGCCGCUGCCGCAGGCGGCUGGGCGUGCGGCGCUGGGAGCAUCACCGCUACGGCAGCACCAGGUGUCGCAAACCCAGCGCGGCGCUGAUGGCCCCGUUGGCAGCGACGAGAGCCCUGGCGUGCUGCUCCUGCUGCGGCCCAACAGCGUAGGCACAGGAGGUGGCACAAGCAUGGGAGCCGCUGCAGCCACAACAGAUGCCCCUGGGGUCGUGGUAGCCCCUGCCGCGGCGGCUGCGUCCACGUUCACACAAGUGGCGGAGCCGGAGGCUUACCUGCUGCGGCCAGCCCGCGACGCAGAGGAUGCCCCAGUGGCGAUGGCGGUGCAGUUGGGCGAUGCUGUCGGUGCCAGCGGCAGGAGGGUUCAUGGGCAGCCCCCGCCCCCGCGCAAGGCCCUCCAUGUUAGCGCCGUCGCGGCUGAUGACCACGAGCAACGCAAGGACGAGGGCACAGCUGCGGCAACGGCAUCGGAGCAGCAGCCAGCGCCAGGUCAGGACGCCUCCGCAACGCAACCGAAACGGGCCAUGCUGCGGCGGCGUGGGCGCAUGCUGCAGUCAGAGAUUGAGCGUGCAGCGGUGGUGGCAGCGGCCGCGGGUGCCGCCGGCGCUGAGGCUGCUGCUGACAAGCAACUGAUUGCGGUCGCACCCCGCCGUGCAGCGGCGAUUGCGGCCGCUGCCGCCAUCGCACGGCAAGCGGCCGGGACUGACGAUAGGCAGCAGACGGCUUCGGCAUCGGCACCGGGCCCUGCCUCCCGCCGAGCAGCACCGCAGCCGUCCGCAUCGGAGGAGCGAACGGUGACGGUUGGUGCACCACCGUCGCACCAGACGGCACGUCAGGAUCAAGGAGCUAUCGAGUCUGCCCCAUCAUCGGCAGCAGCACAUGCAGCAUCCCAGGGCGCGCAGGACACCGCUUCCAGCCUAGCCGGGCACGGCAAGCGCCCCCGGUCAGCCUCGGCGCCAGCCAAGUCAGCUCUAGGGCAGCCGGCUCUGGUCGUCUGUAACGGCGUGGCUGCGGCGCUGAACGCUGUUGGCGAAAGAAAGCGACAGCCGUCCGGCUCCUACGGGAACCACGCGCGUCGACAACCAGUGACGCCACCGUCCCUCGCGGCGCCACCGUCAAAGCCCGUUGCUGCUGAUCGGACAGCUGUGCAGCUCAUAAGCAGUGCGCCAGAGGCAAAGGCCGGCGCUAGCAGGGCUGCAGGCACCAGCCGCAGCGUGCACGUGACCAGGGUGACCCCUGCGGCAUCUGAACCUCGCCUGACGCCCAAUCAGGGCCCGGAGCCUCGGCAGCCGUCGGCUGAAUUCGCAGAGCAGGAGCUGGCUCAGUCGGUUGUGCCGCCACCAGCCAAGCGCAUGCGCCUUGAGAGCAAGCCUGAAGCUACAGCUUCCAAAAGCACGGGGCAGGAAGCCAAGGCGCAAGCGGACGCCCCCAAUAACCCCGUGACCGACUCGGCGUCGGCUGCAGUGGCCGGGCCGUCACGGCGGCCGCCACGCCACCCUAACGCCCGUGUCCGCGCCCACACCUCCGCCGAGCCGAGCGGGCCACAGCCGUUGCCAUUGACAUCAACAGCGGAGAAGGCAGCGGCCGCCGUGCCGCAGGCCGUGGCGGCGUUGCAUCUGCCGGCAGCUUCGCAGCCGGCGGAGCAGCUGUCUGCGGCGGCAAAGCGUGGGGAAACAGCGACGCAACCAGCUGGACAGAGCGGCUUCCUGGGGGCUGCACCGAAGCUCACGGCAGCCGCUGCGGUCCAUGCGCCAUCAACGCAGCAGCUGCAGGUGCAUCAGACGGUGACACCGCUGGUGGAGCGGCCGGCAUUAGACAGCACAGGAGAGGCGGUGGCGGCGGCGCCAACGGCAGAUUUGACGGCAGCUGCUGAGCAGAGCAGGGCAGCGCUCCAUAAUGGCGCGGAUCCUAUGGAAACGGAUCCAGCGGGAGCGCAGCCACCGGUGUCUCAAGCGCCAUCGGCUGCAGCAGAGGACAGCAAUCAGCAGUCGCAAGAGCAGCAGCUGGAUGACCAGCAGCAGGGUGGUGCAGAGCCGCUUCCGCAGCUUCCGCACAAAAAGCGCCUCCUGCUGCAACGGGAGAAGGAGCGCACUGGACACCUUGCUAGCCUACGCCAGCUGCCAGAUGGUCAGUCUGCUGUGGGUGCGAUGGCAGACGUGGCUGCGGCUGCGGCCCCGCCGCCAAAGGCGGGUUAUCCCUCGGUCAUUCCAUCACUCGAGCCGUGGAUGCGUGCUGCAGAGUUGCCAGCCACGGAGGGCACAGCAGCCGGCACUCAGCCAAUGCAGUGGCAGCAGUGCCGCGCUGCCCGUCAGCUGCAGCCGGAGGCCGACAGCACAGUGGCCGCACCUGAUGCUGGUGGCCCAGCCGCAAUUGAUGCCGGCGCCGGACCGUCCGUGGUGCAGCGGCAGGGCGGCCGUGAUGUGGGUGGUGAUGGGGGUCAGGGCCGCGCUGGCCGCGAUGGCCUGCCGGCGUCACUCCUGGUGGUGCAGCCCCGGGCAGCGGCCGUGCGCGCUGCCGCAGCCAUUGCUGGCAGUGGCAAAGCGGCAUCCAAGGCGGCGUCGCCUAGUGGCCAAGCGCUGGCAGGUACGAAGCGGAGCGCCUCAGCCGCAUCGGAGGACGCCGGCGAGGCUCCAGCACGUAAGCGCAAGGCAUCCGAGCCCACAGGCAAACGCAGCGCUGGUGGUGCUGCAUUCUUUGCACCUGGCGGCAGCGGCGCUUCGGGGAGCCUAGCAGGCACGGCAUCGGCGGCGGCAGCGAUGCCAGGGGCGCCGCCGUCGCCCCAAGCUGCGGCGGCGGCCGAGGCGUUGACAGCACUGGGCGGCGGUGCAGGUCGCGGGCGGGGUACCGCCAGUCGCCCACCGCUGCCGGCAGGCCGCGGGGCUGGUGGCGCCGCCGGUGGCGCGGCAGCGGCGGCGGACAGGGCUGGGCCCGCUGCACGCGCUGAUGGCACUGCGAACCAGGUGAGAACAUUGGCUGGAUUGGCUGUACAGUACUUGUAAAGUCGGCGAGGGCGUGUUGGCCCAGGUUACCAAUCAGAAUUUCUCGUGUUGCAUGCCACCGCUGGAAUGUGUAGCCAGGUGACAAUCCCCUCUCACACUGUGUGCGCAGGGGCGCGGACGCGCGGCGCAGCCGGCGUCAAGGGCGAGUGGAGGCGCCGCAGGCGGUGCGGGAGGCCCAAGCGCAGCUGGUGGCUAUACCGCCGCACCGGUGCCACAGGCGCGCGCGCGGGCGGCAGCAGCGGCGGCACACGAGGAGGCGGUGUCCAACCCCAAGAAGAAGGGCACCAUUCGGCGGCCCGGUCAGGUGAGCCUGGUUCCGCUGCUCACCUGGCAGGUUUAGGGGUGUCUGCUGCUAGUGGCGUGUUCGUGCGUCUUGCAACACGCAUCACGCCAGUCCUCGCAUGCCGAUUCCUAUUCUACGAAUGCUGUGCAGAUUCCCAACGUGGUUGCGGCGGCGGCAAGCAUUCUGCUGCAGCUACAACCGGGCGUGAAGGCCUUUGAGAAGACGUUCCGGCAGGAAUUUGGCAACAACCCGGACACCAGCAAGGCACUGCGGCUGUGAGUGAUUAGUUACUAUUCCGCAGGCACUUGCUGGGCAUAUAUGAUGAGAACUAUGGGUUUAUUUGUGCCCGGGUGAGACUCAUGUCAGGGGUUUGGGCCGCACUUCCGUGCACCGUUCCUUUACAAUAUCCUCGCCCCGCCUCUCUCCCUGCCCUGCAGGCUCAUGGAGCGCGGCCACGUGCUGCGCAGCGGCCGUGGCUUCCGUUGUGACCCGUACGGCUACACUGUGACGCAAGAAGGGCUGGACGCGGCCGAGGAGCAGCGGCGGCGCGAGCGCGAGGCGGGCGCCGACAAUUGAAUUGCUUGUACAGGCUGAGAUGGCAUAUGCAUGCUGAAACGUCCGGGUGCACUUACGAGCGUGCAGCACUGGUUAUGAGGAGGUUGGGGACUCCGGUUGCUACUAGGCCCACGGGGCUACGUAGUGUCACUUGGAAAGUAGGGCAUGAUUGUUGUGUCCCCUAGUCAUGUGUGUAGUUGGCCAGACGGGCUGGGUCCGUCUACCGUAGUUGUGCUCAACCCCGAUGGGCUAGCACGCGCAUCACCUGAUACCGUGUUAAGCAUCGUUGAUAACUGUAGCUGCCAUGGCGUCACCCCAUGCCGUCACGCUGGUAUGGACGAAUAAAUGUGCUGCACCCGUGCGUUGAUUGCACCCUAUCUAGCGUAGACAAAAGCUGCAGUGCUAUGCCUAAGCAGCAGUGGUGAUGCGUGUACUUUGCAAGUGCGGCGUGCGGCGCGGCAAUCCUCGCAAUUACCAACACUUUAACUGACACGGGGAUCACAAACGGGCUUUCGCGCAACUGCCAACGAACAGGGGCGGCGCGUGGCGUGGUGGUUGGCGCGCGGCGCGAUUGGGAACGCAUAGUUGGACAGCGAGGCGUGUGGGAAGCUGCGACAGAGCACGGCGGGGGCAUGGCGGAGGCUGAUGGUUGGCGCGCCGCGUGAGUGGAGUGCAUAGUCGUGCGCGCGCCGUUUGGGAAGCCACGUGUGUGAGCUGCGUGUAAACUCAGAGAAACGCAUGGGGCUGACCCGGUUUCCAACAUUGCCUCUGAGCGCGCACGGUUGACAUGGGACCCUCGCUUCGGUUCGGGGGCUGACGGGAAGCUGCGCGUGAGGUGGUGGGACUUGCUGGAGUGCAUGAAAAGCGCUCCGGGGCACGCGCGGGCGGGGCGCAGGCCGCAGGGGCAGCUCGCGUAAACUCGAACGAAACUCGUGGGGAAUUCGUGCAAAACUCGGGCGUAACUGGAGUGAAACUUGGGCGAUGUUCACCAAGCUGCGGCAGCGUAAAAAUGACUGCAGACUUUGAUAGUUACGUGCAUGCAACCGUGCAACAGAAGCCCCGGGACCGGCUGGGGACACGGGCUACCAUCACCCCCGGGUCUGGGCCGCUUGAGGUCCAGGCCGCGGGAGGUGCCCACACACGCAUGUAUGGAACUGCAUCGCGCACGUCCGUUCACGCUGACCCCCAGCCCCUCCUUCGCGCCGAUCUAUGCGCCCCUUGACAACACGUCCAUGGCCCGCCUUCCUGGGCUGCUGCCCACCCUGGCAAGGCGCCAUGGCGAGGUCUUCGCCGGUGCAGGCGCGGGCGCCGUGGCACCCGCCUCGUUUGUCCAGGCCGCGUUUGGCGGCGGGGGCAUGCAGUCGUCUGCCACGCUGAACGCCGUCGGCUGGGGCCUGUUCCAGCUCGGGGGUGUGACCUCCCGCAACGCCCCCUUCGCUAACUACAUCACCACGGACGGGGUGGCCUGCAGCGUGGCGCGAGAAGCGCACAACAAGCCAACUUGAAGCCGGCGACCGCGCCCGCCGAUGCGGAGGAGCUGUGCACCCUGGAGGAGAUGAAGGCCACGCAGAUCAUCGGUGUGGACCCGUGCGGGGGAGGGAAUUGGUUCAUGGCAGCACGGUCUCCGCUGUACCAGCCCUGGGCUUGGGAGGGUGUCAGGGAGGGUGUCAGCCCUGCCCAGCGCUUCCUGCUCGAGCUGCACGACAAGCAGCUGGAUGAGGAGUUGUUCCCUGGGCAGCUGCCGCCGGAGCCGCGUCGCAGGCGCAAGGGCGUCAGGCGCAAGGGUGGCGGGCGCAAGGGGGGCCACCGCCGGAAGCAAUCGAAGCACUGGCAGCCGCGAGCCAGGACAGCGCGGCGGCGGCGCCAGAAGCGGGGCCGAUUCCAUAUGAGUAUGGGCCAUAUGUCAGGCCUGGAACGACUCCAGCCAAACCGCCCACAGCUUGCGCCAGCCCUGCAGGCGUACGUCGGCGGCAUCCCCACGGCGGCGACCGCGUCGGCGGCCCGGUUUGAAGAGCGCCUGCGCUACCUCUUCGCCAGUGGGGCGCAAGGGCAGGCAGCGGGGCAGGAGGCGGGGCAGGCGGAGGCGGCGGGGCCGGCAGAGGCGGGGCCCCGGGGCGCGGUGCACGUGCUGUGGCACUACCACUUCUCCAACUUCCGCCGAAAGCGCUGGGCUGCGUUCAUCCAGCGCGACCGCGCGCUCCACCGCGUCGCCAAGCAGCUCACGGGCGGCAGGCCCAAGGAGGAGGUGGUGGUGGGGUGGGGUUCGUGGGCCUUCCAGGGAGGGAAGGGCGGCUCCCCCAUCUCCGUCAGGGGCGGGCGCGCGCCGACGGGGCGGCUCAUCAAGCUGCUCCGUGAGCGCUACGCCAAGCAUGUGUUCAUCAUCGAUGAAUACAAGACCUCCAAGGUGGGUGGGUUGAGUGGGAUUGCAAUUGCUGGUGGGUGGGUGGGCCGCUGGGUUUAUGCCUGGCUUUAGCGGAAGCCCUUGUGUGGCCCCCCUCCCUCCCACCCUCCCGACCAUGCAGACCUGCUACAACUGCGGGUGUCAGGAGAUGGCCAUCAAGCGGCUUGGGGGGCUGAAGGAGGGGCAGCGGCCCUGGUCGGUCAAAGUCUGCAACGACUGCUUGACGACCUGGGUGAGGACCGUGCAUGUGCGGGGACGGCUGGGCACUGGGGACGGAUUGAUUGACAGGUUGACGGUUGGGACAGCUCAUGUGCGCUCUCUUCUUCCUCCCCGUUCCCCAUCCCCAGAACCGCGACGUCUCCGCCGCCAACGUGAUCCGUGUGCUCCUCCUGCUGAAGCUGAGGGGCUUCGAGCGGCCGACCAAGCUGCAGCGGCCGCCAUGGCCGCCGGCGGCGGCGGGGCCGGGCUGAGAGCCUGAACGGCGCUAGCAGGGCGUGGGGCUGAGGGUGCACGUGUCGAUUGGCGGCGAGUGACGUGACUAGUUUGUUAGCUGCGGGUUAGCACGGACUGUGCACCCCACCCAACCGGCCACGUCCGGAUUUGCGGGGAUGCCAAAGGCCCCCAACAUAGAGGCGUGUGCUUAGUAGGCGCCCGCGUCAAGGUGGCUGGGUUGAUAACGACCCGGGAGGGGAGGGCUCAGCCCUUUUCCUGCCUCCCUAAGGCAGCCACCUCCUUGUUGUUUUGAACGUCGGGGGGGCUGUGCGCGUUCUGGGUGGGUGGGAGAGGACAGUUUGUGCGAGAUCUGUGGGGCUGUCACGGUAAUUGACGGGGGCGCCUGAAAAGACAGAUGAGCCAGUGCGGACCGGAGGAGGGAGUGAUUGGACUUGCUGUUCGCGCGACUGAAGAGGGAGGGAUAGGCGAAACAGGGGAAAUCGGUAAGGAUGUGGAGGGUCGGAGAACUUGGUUGGGCGGGGAAAGUAGUGGGAGGAGUGGGAGAAGUGUCUGUGUGUCAGGCGGGAACGUCGUGAUUGAGAGGAGCGGGCUGCGGAGGUAUCGGGUGGACUUUACGCAGCCCUCAGCGCCCGUUCAAAUUUCCGCCGAGCGUGCCCUGCCUCUCAUGGGGCGAGCCAUCGCGCUGCGUAGCGGGGAGGUUUCUCUGAGUUUACACGCAGCUCACACACGCGGCUUCCCAAACAGCGCGCGCACGACUAUGCACUCCCACUCACGCGGCGCGCCAACCGUCAGCCUCCGCCAUGCCCCCGCCGUGCUCUGUCGCAGCUUCCCACACGCCUCGCUGUCCAACUAUGCGUUCCCAAUCGCGCCGCGCGCCAACCACCACGCCACGCGCCCCCCUGUUCGUUGGCAGUUGCGCGAAAGCCCGUUUGUGAUCCCCGUGUGUCAGUUAAAGUGUUGGUAGUUGCGAGGAUUGCCGCGCCGCACGCCGCACGUGCAACGUACACGCAUCACCACUGCUGCUUGCCUGGUGACGCCUGGGCACAUACUGGAAGGUGGGCAACGACCCCGGAAAACCAGAGCACACGUGUCCCCGCAUCCGGAUGUUCACUCUGUUAUUUUAAGUGCUCCACAGCCUCCACUUCAAAGCGCAAGUACCGCGAUCAAAGCACACUCUGUAUGUCGCAGUGAUCAACUCAUGAACCUGCCCCCAGCAAACCAACGGCCUCCUCCGUUAUCAACACAGCAUGCAAAUGCGCAUUAGAACUGGUUCAGCGUCAGUAGCGUCUCAGCUUGCAUCGUACACGACGCCCGCAACUCCCCUACACUCACAGUUGCACAACACGCAACUCUCCAUCCAAAGUGCACCAAGGCUUUUUUCAGCCGUGCAAGGCGCCUCACUGCAAUCAUGCGGCAUGCGGGGCGAGCCUAACACGCAACCCUGCGCAAACUGCUGCGGACAGCCCGCACCGUAGCGCAGCUUCCUUCAAAUGGCCCCCAGCCCCGCACCGAAUUGUAACAGCCAUCCCUGCGGCUUUACCGCAGCUGCGCCUCCGCCGCCUCGUGGAUAAAAGGGAUGCGCGCCCAUUGCCCCAGCAUGCUGGACACGAUGCCGAACACCACCCACAUGGUGAUGAAAAUCCAGAUGAAGCUCUGCGACUGAAUGUACACUUGCGCGCCCCAGCCGGACGUGGGCGGCGUCAGGACCGUCUCCAGCAGGCGCGGCAGCACAAGGAUGAUGUCCAGCAGAAUGGCCUGGACGGCGUUGAAGCGCACGAAUCGGCUGAGGCUGGGGUUGUUCACCACGCCCAGGUACAGGCCAAAGAAGACGAUGAAGGAGCCGAAAGGCAGGGAGUGGUACAGGCUCAUGGCGGGCAGGAACGGCGUUAUGCACGCCUUCGCCGCGGGGUACAUGUGGAACAGGUAGCGACCAUACUGCACUGCGUCGAAGUACGGCAGGAUGUAGGGCAGCGCAGCCAGGACGCGGUCCACGAUGCCGGGCGUGGAGCUGUAGCCCCGGCCCCCGCCGGGCGCCGAGUAUCCGCCGCUGCGCGCGUGCACGGUCACGGCCCCCUCACGAGCCGGGCGGCGCAUGGCUUGAGCUCCGAUGGGGCGAAAAGGCAGGCUCGCACAGCCUAGAGCGCGAGGGCGCGCUGGCGUCGCCAGGGUGCGAUGGGAUGCGAGCGCCUGCAUGGCUACUGCUCGGGAGCUACGGUGUACUCGGGUUGUAAAUCUUUGGUAAAAGGUUAACUUCCAGUGUCAGUGAACGGCAGGACUGCAGCCGAAAGACUUCCAUGCAAUGGGACUGCAAUUGCUGUUCUUUCUCAGAUAGGUCUUCCAGCUUCGACUGUGGCGUAGAGCUGUAACUCAAUUCCCAUUAUCCAACAAACAUGGCAGAGCACGGGUUGAAGAUAGCAGUGGUGGGUCCUCAGAGGACUGGGAAGACGCUGCUGUGCCGAGCGCUAGCGGAGCAGCCUAUCCUCCUUGGAGAAAUGUCAUACCAGCCUACGGCUGCAGUCAGGUCAGUGGUGUCGCUUUGUCCUGGGCCGCGCAUGUGCUCAAAUGUCGUUUGCCAACGUCUCCCUCUGCGACCGGUGCUGCUCUCGGUGUGUAAUGCUUUCUGAAUCCCUGCAGGAUCCAAGAAAUCAGUCGCGUGCUGGGCAUUGACCGCGUCAAGGUCCAGUUCUGGGACGUGUCGGGGAGCGUGCAGUACCAGUCCUACUGGCCGGUGCUCGCCAAGGUGCGCUUGAUGGAACGGUGCACGGGUCUGACGGCAAGGUGCACGUUUGGAUCUAGCACUGACAUGGGGUAGGGGGGCUGGGCUUGGAAUGGGCAGGGUUGGUUGCCAAGCACAGUAGGUCUCAGGCAUGCGGCCAUCCGCGUGCUGUUCCGCAGGAGGUGGACGGCCUGCUGAUGGUCAUUGACCCCAACCGGCCAGAGCAAGAGCGCGACCUGGAGACCUUCUACCGGAACUUUGCAGAGCCCAACAACCUAUACACGCGCCAGUGCAUGGUCAUGGCCAUUCAAGUGCAGAAGGAGGGCGGCGGCCUGGGCGGCUGGCAAGGUGCGCCGCUGGCGGGGGACAGUAGCCGCACACAUAUGCACAGGCUAGCAGCCUGUCCAGUGAACGUGCGUGCUGCUUGCCAUAGUUUUAACGUGCUAAAGCGUAGCGAUGUGUUCACCCUGUACGUGUGCAGGCCUUCAGGGCGGGUUGAAAAAGUUGUCGCAGUCUUACGUGGCCAUCAACCCUGCCAACCCCGCUGCCGGCGUGCAAGUAAGUCUGGUAUCACCGAACAGCACACGUGCGAAACAUAUCGCUUAUGUGACUUCUGCGGCGGCGCACUGUCGUGCUCAGGGCAGGUACCCGUAGUUGGAACGAUGCACGCUAGCCUGCUGCAAGCACCAACGCUGCCGACGACGCCAACCCGCUGCAGGAGGCAUACUCGCAUUUGGACGUCCUAUUCCAGGGUGCGCUACAAAGCAAGAAGGAGGCGCUGGAGAGCUCAUACAUGAACCAGGAGGACCAGUAGUAUGCAGGAUAGCAGCCCCAGCGCUUCCAACUGCCCUGAGAGGAUACGCUUAAUCGCAAGUCGUCUCACGGUGGAGCCAUGUACAUACGGUAGAUACGGAGCCUGUGCGGCAUGACGUGUGAUGGACGCAGGGUGGGCUGCUGCGUUACCAACAGCCCCGUUUACCAACAGCCCCGGGUCAGCGGGGAAGUAAUCGAUGCUAACGCUGCGACGUGUGCUGCAGAGCCGUGGAUGCGGCCUGAGAUGUGGAGGUGUCGCGGUGGGGUGCUUACCGUAUACCGCGUGCUGCUCGAGUCACCGAAUCGCGGCAGAGGAUGACCACGGAUAGCCCCGCUGCGAAAUGCGGGACUUAGGCAUGCGGUCAGGGAUGAGUUACAGGAGUUGCUGAGACCUGGAUAGCUGCGUGCUGUUGAAGUGAGCAAGGCUAAGGGCUGCUGUUGUUGCGAAAGUGCAAAAUACACGCGUGCAGAGGCGAGUGCUGCAAGUGCGGUUGCGAAGGGCGCGUGCCUUGGCCCUUCGUGUUGGCCCUUCAGCAUACCAACUUAAGUGCGCUAACGGGCCCGGCUAUAGGCUGUGACUGCGUGCAUUGGUCUGGUUGGCAAACACGGUAAGGAACGCGGUGUUUGCAGCGAAACGACUGUUGGCAUGCCCCCUGCGCCUGGCAACUCGUGAAUCUCAAAGAGUAUCCAUGUCAUGAUUGUAAUCCAGUGCAUAAUGGCCUGGCCAAAGCGAGCUUGCCUGCCGAGCGAGCACCGCUCAUUCGGCCUCCAUGGGACUCGCCUCGAUACUUGCGCCCCGGUCGCGCACGGAUUUUCCCUCUUUCGCUACUUAGUCGUAGCUCAACACCAAGGUGAAUAUCCACGACCAGUUAGCUCAUUCUAGCCGCCUCUGCGCCCAUCAUAGCCGGCUCAUUGUUUUGCGCUGUCCCUCUCGUCGCAGAACAAUGGCCGAUCGCGGUGGUGAGCGUGCAGAGCGCGGUGAGCGUGGCUCUUUCGGCCGCGGCUUCGGCGGCCGUGGCGACCGCGGCCGUGGCCGGGGUGCUCGCCGCGCUCGCGGCAAGAAGGAGGACGAGGAGAAGUGGGUGCCCUGCACCAAGCUGGGCCGCCUCGUCCAGCAGGUCAGCAGUGCUUUAGCAUAUGCAGGUCGCUUUAUAUGAUGCAGCUGGGGAGUUGGCGAAAAUGCUGCCGCCGCCGCUGUGUGUCGCAGUCGCUCGCUGGCGCCGGGGCUGGUCGCUUGCACGCAUGGCGCACGCAAAUAUGAUUUUGAAGCUGAAAUGGGGCUGUGCUGGCUCACAGGGCAAGAUUAAGUCGCUGGAGCAGAUCUACCUGUUCUCCAUGCCCGUCAAGGAGUACCAGAUUGUUGAGUACUUCCUGGGCUCGGCUCUGAAGGACGAGGUGAUGAAGAUCAUGCCCGUGCAGAAGCAGACCCGCGCCGGCCAGCGCACCCGCUUCAAGGUGGGCGGGGACACGCGGGGAGGGGAGGGCAGGGGGCGGGGGUGGGGGUAUGGCCACGUGGGAAGCCCAAGGGUGGUGAUUGCACGCCUCUCUGCUCGCCCCAUUCUUUUGCUUCAAGCUCUGCGGUUUAAAUCGCUUACAGGCCUUCGUCGUGGUUGGUGACUUCAACGGCCACAUCGGCCUGGGCGUCAAGUGCGCCAAGGAGGUGAGCUGGCGUGACCGCGAGGGCGGCCCGGGGCUGAUCUGGCGGAGCCUCACGCAGCUGUUGGAAAGCUGGAUUUACAGGGUGGUGUUUCAGGGCAAGAAAUGGGGGCUUGCUUGCCAGCCUAGCGUGGGGUGGGCGUGAGGCUCUUGGGUGUGGAUUCGUGCAUGUGCCGUCCAGAGCCAUGCUGGGCGGCACAGGAUGGCGGCUUCAUCAGCACAUCAUCAGCACAGUCAAGGCGUGUCCAUCGAUGGCCAGAAGCUGUGCAGACUAGUUGCAUGUGCUUUGUCAUAUGGAUGGUGUUUUAGGGCCAUGGUCCUGUCCGCAACCACAAACCCGCCGCUGCAAUCGCCCUCGCUAUCGCCCUCGCACAGGUUGCCACCGCCAUCCGCGGUGCCAUCAUCCAGGCCAAGAUGUCCGUCGUGCCCGUCCGCCGCGGCUACUGGGGUAACAAGAUCGGCAAGGUGCACACCGUGCCCACCAAGGUCACCGGCAAGUGCGGCUCGGUCACCAUUCGCCUGACCCCCGCCCCCCGUGGUGCCGGUAUCGUGGCCGCCCGCACCCCCAAGAAGGUGCUGCAGAUGGCCGGUAUUGAGGACUGCUACACCUGCUCGCGCGGCUCCACCAAGACCCUGGGCAACUUCGUGCGCGCCACCUUCAACGCGCUGUCGAGGACCUACGGCUUCCUGACCCCCGAGCUGUGGCGCGAGAGCAAGUACACCAAGGCGCCCUUCCAGGAGUUCACCGACUUCCUGGCCAAGCCCCACAUUGGCGAGUCCAAGGGCGAGGCGUACGCCUACUAAGCGACCCUCUCCUGGCGCCCGCCGUGCCCUACGGUGACGCAAAUGACGAACUACCAAGUUGGCGGCGAGCGGCCGGAGCGCUGCCGACUGGCCCUGCCCAUCGCCGUCUCCCCGAAUUCGCCAGCGGCUGGCGAAGGCCCCCAUGCAGGCGUGCUGUAACC
Molecule: long non-coding RNA, 47250 nt
Filed under: Chlamydomonas reinhardtii
Lineage: Eukaryota; Viridiplantae; Chlorophyta; Chlorophyceae; Chlamydomonadales; Chlamydomonadaceae
Description: long non-coding RNA (CREI_LNC000051)
Source: RNAcentral